Molecule: long non-coding RNA, 54308 nt
Filed under: Brachypodium distachyon (stiff brome)
Lineage: Eukaryota; Viridiplantae; Streptophyta; Magnoliopsida; Poales; Poaceae
Description: long non-coding RNA (BDIS_LNC000340)
Rfam family: MIR1120/MIR1122 microRNA precursor family (bases 5937-6061)
Source: RNAcentral
GGUGUGCUCUUCCCUGCAGAGCGUAUGGGCAAGAGCUGCCUGUAUUUUGUUUUGUCAUCAAGGAUUAUGUAUUGUCAAUAUGAACAAGAUAAGCAGUUAACUGUACUGUUUAAUUAUUUGUGUACAUUUGCAAGCUUUCUGGGUCAUCAUCACCUUCUUGAUUUCUGUGAUUCGUCUCUGUCAUUUGCUUCAUCUGUAAUACUCCAGAACAUUGUCCUGCUUUGUUAAUUUAUGGCUCCCUAAAUGCUCAACUAACAACACUUUGACACAAAUCACGGAGGCCAGCGUACUGAAGAAGAGUCAUUCCUUUGCUCUUUGACUUCUGAAGAUAUAGAGCAAAGAGUAAUUUCGUACCGCUGCUGAACCCUGUGAAGUUGCUGCCUUGAUUCUGGCAUGCGACCUACCGGCUUCAGUUUCAACAACGGAACCUCUGUUGUUUGCCCCGGCCCCCGGUCACUUUUUGUUGAGACUUACUCCAGUAGUAGAAUUAGAGAAGUUUAGGUGGAGAUACUUAUCAUCAGCUCACUGCCACUACAACGAAGUCAAACUUCGAAAGGAACGGCAGCAAUCUAACACAGCCAACUACGUAGGUCAUGGUCAUGUGUAGUUAAAUUAUAGAACAUGCUCCGGAUUACAAGAACCGUGCCCUCAGCUAACAUUUGCAUUUCUGUAUCCUAUUCUGCUAUUCAAGAGGAAAGCAACCUUGUUCUUGAUUGUGAUGUGGAAACUCAACCGUUCUUGUAUAACACCAGACACCAUUUGCACCAUGUUCAGAAAUCAGAAGUGCCUGACUUUGUCAGCUUAAGAUUUGGAGCAGGAAGUUCAGUCAAAGGUCCUGUUUGGAUUGACUUCUUGCGCGGGGGGGGGCUAAUGGAUGGACACUCGCCGCUCUGAUUUGCAAGGGUUCUCACGGUGAUUUUGCAGGAUUUUCACACCAAACGCUUCGAAUCCCGUAGGAUAAUUAUGUCCACGUGCAGUAUAUGACACUCCAACAAAAACGACCGAACCUGAAUUUGGGAUCCGACAAUGCCUGGAAAUCCUGUGAAUUACCGCGCUUUCUGAACAGAGGAUACGAAUCCAUGGAUGAUGGAUCCCCUGAACUUGGACAAGAGAGGGAGACCCACAGUGUGGGCGGGCCUCUGCUCGUAUUGAAUGCUGUUACCUUGUAGUGGGGCGCGACUUCGUCUCCUGGGCCAUGAUCUGGAUUAGCCCAUGUGCACACAAGGUGGGCAUCAUUCGCGGUGAAUCAAACGAGCUCACAUGUGUUGUACGCAAUGUGGCCUGUUCUUGUGUUUGCUCACGUCACAUGGUGUGUCCCGAAUUAACCUGACGAGACACGCAAGUAUUCCAUAACGCCUUAACAAUACUGCAAUAUCAUGUUUGCAAGAAUCUAUAAAGAUGGCAAAUUGGGUCACCGCCGAGGCCAAUCACUUGAGGAUUAUCGUGUCGAGAGAGUAGAUGGCUGUACCGACUUGGGGCUCUGGCAUGGAUCCAUCAGUGUAAGACAGUUCCAACCAUUCGAAAUGAUGCUCACUGUGUCAUCACGAUUGGCGGUAAAUAUAUUACACACAGACGGCAGAAAAGCAAAGCGAGCCGGAGGUACCUUGUCUGGUCAUAAGAUUGUUGCAGAGAACUUAUAUGUACAAAAAACUGCAUGGUCAUGGAAGAAAACACGACGAUCACUGUACAUGGCACACCAGGUAAAGAACUAAUUAGUGCAGCUAAGGAUACCUUUCUUUUAUUUCUGAUGAGCGGAGCAGUACGCAGUAUCUCCUGACCCUAUAUAAGACUAUCAUGAUGUUCUCCACUGCUCCCUCCAGCAAAUGUCUCUGAAGUUUCUGGCAGAUCAUCUACACUGGACAAAGGCUUGUCCACAGCAGAAGCAUCUAUGUUUGAAGGCUCUGGCAGGUCAGGCACAUCACUGUAAGGCUCGUUUACUGAAGGUGCAUACGUCUCUGAAGGAUCUGUCCGAUCAACCACAUCAACCAACGGCUCAUUGGCGGCAGAAGCAUACACCUCUGAUGGUAAGGGCGCAUCGACCACAUCAACCAAAGGCCCAUCCAUGGCAAAGGCUUCUUCAUCUGAAGAUGAGAAUGUACUGAACAAAUUAUCUGAACCAAAAGGGGCAGCUUCAUUGUCAAUGUCCUCCAGAUCAGAAAUUUGAGCUUCAGAAUCAGAUGAUUCUCCAAGCAAGACUUCGAGAGACGGGCUGCUAUUAUUUGUUCUCUCUGCUACGAAAGGCAUGCCCAAGAUGUCAUUCUCGCACUCAUGUAGCAAGUCAUAAACCCUUUGCAGCUGUGGCCCUGCAGUAGGGGUCACGUUAUAACUAGCUCCAUUACCUGCAAAAAGAUCUUCGAAAUGAUUUCCAGUCGCAGUGUUCCUUGAACUGAUGGCUUCAGUGGCAAAAACUACACCAAGCGACUCUAUACUGCUCAAAUCUAACCAGGAGUGUUCCACCUCUGGUUUCAUGAGGGUUUCAACAGGGCCGGAGUCCAAGCUGCUAUUAUCGAUCCAUGUUUUCUUGGAAUCAGGAAACUCAAAGAAUACAGAGUCCAUCCCACCAGAAAGCCUAAUGUUGUUCUCUGUAAUCUCCAGAUCUCCAUCCUUAUCUGACAAGGUUUCCAUUGCAUUGACACCAUCCCUGGUAGCACCAUUUGCAGGAGAUGCACAGUUUGAUGAUUCAAAAGUUGUGUUAAUGGAUAGGUCACCAGAAAUAUUUCCGUCUCCCUCAUCAAUCUCCAAAGCUUUCUUCACUAGCAAAAGUUGGAACAUUGGGUUCUUCUGGCCCACCUUGCGGUCAGCAUCUUCCAAGUUCUUAUGAGCUCCUGGGGAUGUUCUCUUGAAGGAGGAUAUUGCAGCACCAUCGUUACCAAGGCACACCUCAGAAGGACCAUUCCUGAAAGAGCUAGCAUUUCUUGCUGCAAGAAACUCUGCCAAGGAUACAACAGGUCUGCUUUCAUUCACUUGAGCUGUCUUAUCAACAGAUUCCCAAAUAGUUGAAGAUUUUUCUUUCAUCUGAGUUCCAUCAGCAACUGACCCCAGAAGUGUAGGAGGAGGCUGAGAAGGAUCAUCCACAGGUUCAUUGCUCAUGACAAAUGUCAUUGUGUCCAAAGUAGGAUCAUAAUUCUUUCCGUUUACCUGCGUACGGUCAUCAACAGAUCCAGUAUGAGGCCAUGAAGGAACACUCCAUGGUUCAGUGCUAGCAAAUGCCGUCUUGUCAGGAUAGAGAUCAAUAUUCAGUUCAUUUACCUCAACAUUCCCGACCAAGCGUGCCUUAGAGACAGAAGUGGGUGGAACCACAUCAACUUCCUUACUUACAUCACCAAAUUCACCAUGAAAUUGGCCAACUGAUCCAUCUUUAGUGGAUAUCUCAUCAGCUUGUCCAUUAGAAAGGGAGGAACUUGAGGAAUCAAUUGUAUUUUCAGCACUUAAAUUACUGGCGGUGCAAGCAACAGACUUCGAGGGUGACGUAGCUUUGGUGGAAUUGAGAAAUGCCUCCAAGGCGAAUGCUAAUGCACCAUCAAUAGUAACAGGAGCUUUGCCUUUGGGGUCGUUGACAGUGCUUUUGCUCAGAGUAUCAUCAGAGUUUGUAUGACGAUCAUCAAGAUCACCAGCUGUUUCUUUGACAUCCUCCACUUCAUCGUCUUCAUCAUUUGGGAACUCUGGAACCUUAACAGCUAGACCUGGUGUACUCUUACGUUCUUUCUCAGAAGAUGAAGCAGAAUCAGCUGGUGGAAAAGGCCCGUGAUGAAGCUUCUCACAAGUUACCUCAGGUUCACAUAUGAAAUCAGAAGCCCUAACAUUAGGUCCACGUAUUGUAUUCUCAUCGGCCAAAUCACAACCACAGGAAUCUUCUAAAGAAAAUUCUGGCGCCCUGAUAACCAAGCCUGGCUGCCUGUUCAUUAUAGAAGCAGAAGUUCCAGUAUUGCCACUAUAAUGUUCCUUUUCCUGUGAGUUAGUGAUAUCAGAGUAAACAUUUGGGACUGACAUUCUUGCAGACAAAGACUGAAUCUCUACAGAAAAUGAAUCAAACUGUUGCUCCAGCCGCUUAAGCCUUGCCUCAAUGCUACCGAGGGGCCUCAUCAUACUGUCCUCAAACCUAGAGCAAUAUAACUCCACUUUAUCCACCUUGGAGAGGAGAAUUUCCAGCGUCUUCUCAAUAGGAUUGUGCGGAGUAAAAUUUCCAUUCAUGACAGGACCAGUGUCCUGAUCCAUAUUUGAUACUCUCUGGCCCUUUGCCGAUGCCACUUGUAUAUUUUCUGUUGUUCGCUCAGGCAAAGGGAGAGGUCUGGGAACAUUUAAUGGGAACUCACCUUGGUUGCUUUUUUCAUUAGAGAUCGUAUCACCCCCCAUAGGUGGUAUUCUGUUUUCCAACCCAGCUGACAUAAAACUUGAAUCAUUUGUGCCACACAUUGCUGCUUCUAAAUCAAUCUUUCCACAUGGGCUGCUCUCUUUCAAUGCACAACCUUCAGGAAGUUGUGUCCUCAGGCCAUCAGGAAAAUAACUGUCAUCUAUUUUGCACUUUGUAGAUUUGGACAUUUGCAUAAGACCAGGAACAAGCAUAGCCAACAAAGAACUACCUCCCAUGUUUCCAGGACCAGCUACUGACUCAUCACUGGUGGACCCAACAUUAUCAGCAAAUAUGUAGAUCUCUUCAAGGUGCACUGAUGUCUUUGACUCUAGUGAAAGAAGACGGACAGUAAGAGAAACACAUGGGCUUGCGUCAGUUAUCUCAGCAGUUGCUUCAUAGUGUGCCUGGAUUAUGCAAAAUAAAACAACAAUGUCGUAAUUUGUAAGAAUCUAGGAGAAGUAUUUUUACAGUGAGUAUCAAACAAUAUUUAUUGACAAGACCAAAAACGAGAGGAAAUACCAGAGUAUUUUUCUGGUGGGUUCCAAUCGCAUUCCUUUCUUGAGAUUCAGGUGUGUUGCUUUCCAGAGGAGACUCUGGAACUUUGACUUCAACCCAGCUAUCUUCAUCACUACUACUGGUUACACUUUUGGUCUCUUGUUCAUGCUUUUCAACAGAUACAGUAUUGCUACUCCCCUGAGACAUACACUCUUCACCAGAGGGCAGCGGUUCAUUAGCAGCAAGUCCACAGCGCACAGUGCAUAGAUAAUCCUUGCUGGUAUCCUUCAGGUUGGUUGAAUAGUAUAUUUCAUAAAUCCGGGCUGUGCUUUUCACAUACACUCUAUGAAUCUCAUACUUUCCUGUGAAAUUAACUGAAAGAAGAAGUGAAUUAGUUACAUCGAUACAGAAAUGGAAAAUGAAUUGAAAUUCAGCGGGGAAAUGUUCUACACUAUUUAUAGAACAAAAUGGAGACAAACUAGAAAUUUGGCCAUGAAAGCCACGCUAUGAUGGACUACAUAGAAUGAUAUAGAGCCUGACUUCAGAUUUGCAAUGCAGAUACAAGGCGGAUUGAAUAAAAGAUGACAAAAUAAAAGCAUACUAGUUGCAGUUCCAAAAUUAAUUAGCCUCUGGUGCUCGCUGAAGCUUUCGCAAGUCGACAUGGACGGGCACCAACGGCGCGAAGGAUCGCAUUGCAGUAGCCUCUGGUGCUGGCUUCCUUUGGCACCGGGUUGGCCUGUGUGUUUUGUUUUAGCUGGGCCCUGGAUGCGAUGUAUGGCUUGUAUUUCGCUACUGUUUUGGGCUACAUUUUCCUGUUUCUUUGUUGUUCUUUUUGCUUACAUUUUGGACUACUCUUUUGUAUGCUGGCGGUUUCUAUAAUGGAAAUCGGUGGAGAGAGCCCACUGUUUCUAUUUUUUUAUUAAUUAGCCGACAAAAUUCUGCCCUGUCACUAUACAAGAAAGGAAAUACUUUAUGGGAAUUAAAGCGUGAUCAAGGGUGGGCAAUUUGUAGUGGAACAUAUUUACUUCAAUGUCGAGCUUCUGGAAAAAAGUGGAAGCUAAAGCUGUCAAAAUCGAGCCAGGUCUUUUCCGAAGUACUCCCUCCGUCCCAUAUUAAGUGACUCAAAUUUGCUCGAAUAUGGGUGCAUCUAUAUCCCAAAAGUGUCUAGAUACAUGUAAUAUUUCGUCACUUAAUAUGGGACGGAGGGAGUAGUACCAAAACUACUAAUUGCUGUUGGAGUGAUCAUGGGGAGAAUACGAAGCUCUGAAAUUUUAUACAUUUUAGUAUACAGCCUAUAUCACAUAUAGUGAUCGGAUAUCCACUUCAAAUAUGAGCCUUUGGACAGGAAAAUGGCCCCUGAAGUGUCUGCAGCGACAAGGGUUUCACUGAUAUACGAAUAGGCCAAUUCGAAUGGACUCUGCAAGUCUCCAACAGCAAUAGCCAGUUUGGUGUGCUUAGCUCGUAUACUAGCCCACUAGGGUUUAUCCAACCAUACGCUGACUAUUGCAAAAGAUUAAAUUUCAACAGUGCUUGCAUCUGCGUCCGAUCAGCGACAUGGAACAACGGCACGGCGCAAUUCGCAAUCAAACCUCCCGAAAUCUUUCACUAGGCUACAACUUUCCAAGGCAAAAACGAGGACCCACCAGUAACUUCGCAUGGAGGGGGAUCCUCUCCGCCGUCGGAGGGCGGGCGGGCGAGGACGACGGCCGUGGGGGAGGACUCGGCGUCGUCGGUGGACGUCUCGAAAGACACGGCGUCCUCGACCGUCGCGGCUCCGGCCGGAGCCCAGGUGCUGGUCGCCGUCCAGGGCCGCCCGGGCUCGCCUCCCGAUCCCGAUGCCGCCAUCGCUCCCCGACUGCCUCCAGCCGCGUAGUGGGUGGGGAAAUCGGCGGUGGCGUACUGGUGGGGUUCGCCGUUGGUCGCUUAGCUUCGCUUCAGGAUUCCGUCAGGCGCUCGCUCACUUCACGACGAAUCUGGUGCGGGAUCUCAUCCUACAUUCCGACAGGCUACAGGCCCUCGAAACAAAAUGGAUUUUGGGAUUUGGGUUUGCCGUUGUCUUGGGCCUAAGUCCAAUAGACCAAUAAUAAGGCCAACUAAACGCAUGGGCCCAUUGCCGCAUUCAUAAAAAACAUGGGCUUCUAGGCCCAUUAAAAAUCGUUAUCGAGUUAUCCACACCGCGAAUGUUUUACCACCGCAGCCGCAGACGAUGCGUCCCGGGCGCGGCCGUCAAGAAUGCAGCUCCGCUUCGUCCCGCUCGCCGCGAGCGCCAUGGCCGGAAGGAGCUUCCUCGCCGAUCUUCCUCGGCCCGUGAGGGGGAGAAGGAAUCAUCUAUGCUACAACGGGAACAAUUCGUCGUCGUCGGAGAAGGACGGCGAGCGUGGUCCGACAGAAGAGGCGCUGCGGCGGCUGGCAGAGCUCGACGCUCAGCUGGAAGGGCUGAAGGAGCCCAAGAUGAGGCCUCCGCCGCCCCCUCCUCCCCCAGGUAAUCAACUAAUCAUUGACUACCGGUCUCGUCGGGCCAACUUGGCUUCUCCGGUCUUCCAUGCGUCCAUACUAUCUUGCCCUCUCAAUUCAAAAAAUCAAUGAUUCAAGAUCUUCAUCACAGCCAAUAAUUGAUUGAGAUCAAGUUUUUGCAGCACACGUGAACCUGUAUGUUCGCGUGUCCUCUGAAAAGAAAAGAAGAUUUUCACGGUGAGUGUGUUACAGCAAGUCAGCAAGGAUGUAUGUUUAGGUCCUACUGAAAAUUGUGUUUAAAGCUGCAUAAACUAUGCAGGAUAGAUGGAUCAGUCCCUUGCACUGAAACUACCUAAUGAAACCCUAUGAAUUCAUAUGCAAAACUUGUGGUCCUCAGCGUAAAUUCUAUGCCUGAAUGCUUCGGUACAGGGUACAAAUGGCCAUUUCUCAAGUACUCGUACCUUAGAAGCUUAGAUCAGUAGUACAAAUCAAGUGCAAAAUGCAGACCAGGCUUGCCAUUUCCUCAUGUAGACUUUUAAGAGCAGUACUUACAUUACAACGUACGGAGUACUUCGUAGAACUCCUAAUGACUGCAAAUGUACUGACCCUCAAAUUGCUUCGUCCUUAUCGACACAGAAGUACUUUCCGAAAUAGUUGAAGCCUUGUCACUUCAUUUCAACAUCACCUUGGCAUGUUAUCUUACCGUGUUUUGCUUGGCAUGCACAGACCCUUUCAUGGACCGGGACAUGAUAAUAACGCGGGGACGACCAAGCGAGGAGCUCCCAGAAAUGACCCCGGCGUACGUAGCCUUCUCAACUCUAGCGCUUUUCAUCUUCACCAUCUUCACCAACGUGAUGUUCAACCUGUACGUCAAACCUUCCGUGGACGGCGUCGAUCAGCCCGUGAGAACUCAGAGAACGGCCCUGCUUAAUCCAGCAGACCAGCUGCCCCAGAGUAGCUCGUCCGAGACGUGAAUGACAAUGAACCGCAGCUUGUUAAAGCAAGAGGGCAUGUGACUUUUUAGCUAAUAAAAGUAAAUGGAUGGUUUGCGCCUCAUAUUUGAUUUUCUGUAUGUAGAUCAAUCCCCACAUGUUCCGAAUGAACUAUAUUUUGCUGGCAUCGAUCGAGGGUUCGUUUUGAUAAUGCAGAGGUUCUGCUGCACAUGCCUGUGUCUGUGUGGGGCUCUACCUCUCGAUGUAUAUUCAGUUUCUUGAUGGCCAAUGAUGACCGAUCAUAGAACGUGGAAGUAAAAGAAAACCGAAUCGACAUCCUGAAUCAAACAUAUCAAACCCAACUGAUUGUAUCAGCAGUAGUCACGGACGGACGCAUAACUUGGAGAACGCCGACAUGACGAAUGAGCUGUGAACUAUGUUCGUGUGGCACGCGGGAGAAGCAGAGCUAGCAGCGGGGUACGUACUCCCGUCCCGUGGUAGCGGUCCCGGGCUCUGCGAUCUUGUACUGAUGAUUUUCUUUCUUUCAGUUGUACAUGUCCUUUGGCUCUUCUGUUUUCCCUAUUCUUUUCUAUCUUAUUAUGUCUCUGCCUUAUAUUGUUCCGAUUCAUACACUGGCCUUUCGGAUUUGUCGGCAGUUUUUGAGUUCCCGUGGAGAUCGUGGACCUUAAUUUCUUGUUGGCUUUCGCUUUCGUUUAAGCAAGAUUCUGAGUUGCUUUCCUAUCGUAGCAGCAGUACGCCUUGGUUUGUCUCCUGUUUCGUCACAGCGCUAGCUAUCGAUUUAUUUUUCGUCUCGCCCGCACAAAAAAAUAAUGUUUUGCUUAUUUCUUGCUCCCUUGAUCCUAAAUUGUUGAAUCAAAUUUGUCAAAAUAUAGAUGUAUCUAUUCUUAAAAAGCGUCUAGAUACAUGUAAUAUUUCGACAACAAUUUAGGAUCGGAGUGACUACGUUAUAUUUUCUUAAUCUAAAUUCCGUUUUAAUACAGUUCCAAAACACCUGAAGGCGAUGUGGCUCCGCAGCAGGCCGAGCUUUGACCCUAUUUUAAACCUCGCAUGUAUUUCCCGUCUUAAGUACGUAUGUAUGUCUUCGAUGCUGCACGCCUGCACAUGAUUAUUUAUUCAUUCGUUUUUCCCAUAUCUAACCCAAGCCCAAGCCUCGAACAAAUACCUGGACGUAUUAGUUUAGAGGAAUCUCGUAACAUGGAGAUCAUAUCAUAGUUUAUCUCUGCCACGAAAGGAGAACAUACUUCAACUCCGCCCCCGGAUCGAGUCAUCGUAUUCCAGCAGUCCAGCUGCCAACACCAGAACACCUCACGUGCCUUUACGUGAGACCCGAAGAGAGGUCUCGGUAAUACGAGCAGUAGCCCUCGCAUUGGCUUUACUUGACAGCUUUUUUCAGGGGAACUUUACUAGGAAACAGAUCCGAAGUGAAAUGAGGUCCAGCAUCAGGCGUGCCAAUCCUUUUCCGACGAAUAAAACUGCAUGGCACCGAUCCAUCGCCCGGCCCAUUUCGUGUCCGCAUCGGUCGAUGGUGCAUGUGCGCCCGUCCGUCCGUCCGUCCCCAGAUCUGGUGCGUCUCAUCCGGACAAAAGCCCUCGGACUGCACGCCCGGACGACGGACGGACACGUCGCCCGCCCGCGGCGCGACGCCACGGCCAGGCAAUGAGCUAGCACGGUGAGAUGUCGAGUUCUCGGCGAACAGAGGACUUCGCUUCACCCGGCCGCGGCGAUCCACGCUGUAGAUCUUCUCCAUGAUUUCGUGAAUCAGUACUGUACUAUUAGCUGGAAGAACCCGAUCGAUCGGGUAAUAAUUGCGGAGGACGGAUCAUCACGGAACGAAUCGAUCGGCCGGGGGCGGUUUGUGCUGUGGUUGGCCGGCAUGUGAUCGGUCAGCCGCGGUGGCCCGGCACAGGGCAGUGCGCUGUGGACACUGGCAAUUUACUUAUCCCUGCAUACCCUGAAGAGCACGCGUGUGUAUGCCGACUCUGGGCUGCUUUCUACAGGCACGUGAUGAUGUGCCAACCGGAUGCUAGUUGUCUCUCACCAGUCAGCUUAACGUCACCCCCCGUGUCUGCUCACACUCGAGUGCUACAAAUCUUUAUUACGGACAGUAAGAUACUGUUUCACCUCUGCUCGUUUUACACGCGAUGUAAUCAAUCGACCCUACCUUAGCCCCUUUGCUGCUAAAAGAAAGCGUCGUACGGUGCAAACGACGACGGCAUGAUUUCUCUCCACACGCGUACGUGGGGCAGUGGCGACGUGCACGCUCGCCGAACGCUCCGGCGAGAAUGAGCAGCGAAAGCGGGCAUCUCCGUGGCCAUGUGGUGCGAAGCGCAGCUAGCUGGACGCAAAAGCUCGCCCGGAAAGCCAAAAGAAUCCUUUUUCUCCUUUCGUUCUCGCCGCGAGCGACCUAGCAGUACUAGCGAGGUCAGGUCGAUACUCGAUCUCUCUUUCUUCCACAUGCGCUCUCGUGUGCGGCCUGAACCUUGUCGGAGGACACGUACUACGUACGUCCAUGCCGCAUUAUUUAGCGACUUCACAUGGGGGGACGAAGAUGGCGAAGGACCCGAGACGGUGCCCAGCUAAAGGGCGGCUACGUGUAGCUUGUACGUCUCCGACAAGGGGGUCAGCCCGUCAAUGUUGUGCGACCAGCUACGUGUCAAAGGAGAGGUGGCCGUGUGACGAACAUUUUAUUGUGUUCAGCGUGCACCGGCUUCAACCUCCCACAACUGACGUUUCCUUGGACGUAGUAAAAAAAGAGAAAGAAAUUGACGUGUCCUUUUCGAUUGUAUUCUUGGUAAGAUGUCCCGCGCAAACAUCUUUAUAUGUGGUAUCUGCCGAAAAAACCCCGUUCGGUGUAAAUUUCAUAAAAACCAUGUAUAGAAUUUUUAAAAAUUCUUAUAAAAAUGCCAUAUUGUGAAGGUGUGGUACUCUACAAAUGUGCAAAAAUUCAAGCAGAAAAUCAAAUGCGUUUGAAAAAUUAAAAAGAGAAUACAAAUGAAUAGUGUCAAAAUUGAAGGCCCACUAUUCAUGUUGAAUUUGUUUUUUUUCGCUCCUACCAAACGCAAUUGAGUUUGAACUUGAAAUUUUACACAUACAUAAAACAUCAUUUCUCUAACAUAUGAACUUUUUUUAGAAUUUUUUGAACUUUUUUCGAUGAAGUUUUCAUAGUUUGCACGGUAGAUGUGGUUUUCAUCGGAUACUUUUCCUAAUUACUUUGGCUCACGAUCCAUAUUAAGUGCUAGCUUUAGUACAACUUUCUGCUAAGUUAAUAGAAAAUUUAAGAUGCUUAUUAUGGAUCGGAGGAAGUAUUACUAUAUUAUUUAGAAAAAACACCAAGUCAGUAAUAGAAAGAGAAGAUAGGUGUUUGUGAGACGGUGUGCACAUGCAUGUAUACAUGUUCUGCCCCAUCUUAUAUAGCUUCAUCGCCCUUUGUUUUCGCGUGUGUUGCCAUACAAAGACAGAAAAUAUCCACGCAAAUUUUUGAUUGGGGGAUUGCAAUAUUGAUCGGUAAGAACAUCCAAUCUAGUGGCCGUGCUGUUAUAUACGAAUGGUGCCUAAAUAAAGUGUAAGGGCAUGCGUCAUAACUGGCCCGUACAAACAUAUAAACAGCCUAGUAAAUCAAUGGCCCAGUUAUAGCACCUACAAUUACGUAAAUCAAUAAGUUAUGUAUUGGAUUUAGGUGGGACUUAAACCAAUUCGUAGCCCAAUAAAGAUAUCGGUCUCAUUAAAUCUUAACCGUUAAAUACCAGAUCCAAUGGAUAGAAUAACUGUGAUGAUGUUGAUCAACGUGAAGUCUCCCUUCAGUACACCUCAUAUUGGUUUUAGUAUAUAAUAGAGAGAUGUGAGGUAACAUAUUUGUUGAAAGUUUACUUUUAGUCCCAUUCAUUGUAUUGUAUAUAAUUGAUAGAUAAUUUUUUAGCUCACGUGGAUAGAUACUAAGUUGAAAACCGAAUUGCUGAUUUUCUAAUUUAUGAUGCCGGUUUUAUAUUACAACAAAGUUACAUUCCAAUGAAGUUGUUAUUUUUCUCUCUCUCUCUCAAUUCACUUAUUAUCUUCAUUCGUAUUACUUGUUACGGUUUUGUCUAGAUACGUAUAUAUCUACAUAAUGAAACACGUCUAGAUACAAGUAUGUCUAGAUAAAGCUGCGACAGUAAUAUGGCCGGAUGGAGUAGUUACUUUUAACGCCACAUAGAGUUUGUACGGAAGUAGAUUGUCAAAUUUCUUGUUAUUAUUUAAUUUUAGUUAUAUAUAGAGACACAUGUGUUUGUCUAGAACCAAUCUCACGCCGCUGCACUGCCCGCCGUUCCUUCAAUCGAACGAUCGGGCCGGUCUUUGCUCGCAGUGUUGGAUCUUGGAUCGUUAGAUUAUUACUCCUGCCUGGCCCGUACAAAUAUACAAAAAAGCCUAGUAAAUUAAUGGUCCAAUUAUAUCACCUAUAAUUACGUAAAUCAAUCAGUUAAGUAUUGGAUUUCAGUGGGCCUUAAACCAAUUCGUAGCCCAAUAAAAAUAGCACUCAUUAAAUCUUAACCGUGAAAUAUCAGAUCCCAUGGACUGAAUAAUUGAGGUGAUGUGGAUCAACGUGGAGCCUCCCCUCGGUACCCCUCAUAUUGCUUUUAGUAUAUAAUAGAUAUCUGGAAGGAGGUGUCAUGUCUCCUUGACAGACAACUAGGUGCUGAUUUUGAUUCAAUUGCUCGUUUAUGGAUGGCUAAUAAAAAUCUGUAUGUAAUAACUCUAUAUAUGCUGUUGUUCUUUAGAGCAUCCGGGCUUUUCGUAAUAACAUGAUUUUUAAUAACCAAGUAUGAUUGUCUCUUAAGCAGAUUUCGUGGCUGAUUCUCCAGUCUCUCGGGAAAUGGUCGUUUCUGUUCAAAGAUACUUUGCUGGACAGGGUGGACUCUUUCUGUCAGAUGGUGUCUCGGCUCCUGGGCGCGCCACCGCUACUGGUUGGGAUCUGAAUGAGGGCAUUUCUGGCCCUCUUUCCCCCACUAAUCUGCCUGUAGGUGUUGUCUCCCCGUUCUCGGGUGUGCUGGGACCGAAACUCCUGAUGCCUUCAGUCAGCCCUAGCUCUGUGCUGGAGCUUCCUCCUCCGACGGCGAACCCAUUGCUGGUUUACGCUGAGCACAAGCUUAUGCUGAAACACCAAGCUUGUGAGCUCGCCGUGCCGCCCCUUAGGACUGCUAUAUCUUCUUGGUGAGGCUGUUUUUCUUCUUGUUUUGGCUGGCUAUGUUUAACCACAAACCAGCUUUCAUUUUGUGUGUUACAGCAUUUGCACGAACCUGGUUUCUUGUUAUAAGGAGCCGGGAGUCCUUGGGCCUCCUGUUGAUUAAAAAUCGCCUCCGGGGAUUAUUGCUCUCGUGAAAGCCAUGCGUUCUGGUUAUCUACAUUCUCCCGGGCAACUGUUUUCAUUCUUGGGAUUAAAGAAGUUCUAAUACUGUUCUCUCUUGUGGACUAAACUAACCAAACGGUGGCACUAGCGAGCUAGGCGACGCACGUCUUGGUUUUGUGGCAGAUCGGCUCGCACAUGUACGCAAAUCAAUGUGAGGAGCCUAAUAAUGUGGAUGGACACCAAAAAACCGGGGAGCGAAAGCUCGAGUUCGGAUUUCCAUAUGCUAAAUCAUGCACACGCCAAUCCAAUCGCUCGAUCGAUGACGCCGCAAGUGGAGCCCGAACCCGCUCGGAUGCUUCCCGGUUACCGCCUCCCUUUGUCCGGUUGCUGCAGUAAGGAAUUCAUCGGUUUCAGAGGAGUGGUCUCCUUUUCCCUGCCAUGCCAUGGUGUUGCUCGUGCUCUCGUACACCUCGCACCGCUGGCUACAACCCGGCCGGCCUCCUCGGUAUUUGAGCACGUCCCGAUUCAACGGAGGUCAAAAAAAUGAAAAGAUAAGAAAAAUAAACUGAAAAUCGGACAUUUAUCCCCUCACGCCCUUUUUAAGACCACCUCGAGAUCGACCUCAUCACUCCCGCACUCAACACUCUCUGGCCAGCCAGCCAGCUCCAAGGCUCUGCGAGGCAGUAGUAGCAACCAGCCAGCCAGCCAGCCCAGAAAGGCCACAACAAUGGCGAAGACAGCCUCGUUCUUCCUCCCUCUCAUAGCGCUCCUGCUCGUGUCUCCGGCGCUCUGCUCGCCGCCGCCCAGCAAGCGUUGCCCCGCGGGCGACCUGCAGGCGCUGCUGCGCGUGAAGCAGGCGCUGGGCAACCCGGCGACUCUCAAGACGUGGUCCGCCGCGUCGCCCGACUGCUGCAGCACGUGGGACCACGUCCGGUGCGACGAGUCCGGGCGCGUGAACAACGUCUUCAUCGACGGCGCGGACGACAUCCACGGCCAGAUCCCGUCGGCCGUGGCGGGGCUGACCGCUCUCAUGUCGCUCUCCCUCUUCCGUCUCCCGGGCCUCCAGGGCAGCAUCCCGGCCUGCCUCACCACGCUCUCCAACCUCCAGUUCCUCACCAUCUCCCACACCAACGUCUCCGGCCCGAUCCCGGACUCGCUCGCCCGCCUCCACAGCCUCGACUCCGUGGACCUCUCCAACAACAGGCUCACGGGCUCCAUCCCAAACUCCUUCGCCGACCUCCCGAACCUCCGCUCCCUCGACCUCCGCCGGAACCUCCUCACCGGCCCCAUCCCUGCCAGCCUCGUCCAGGGCCAGUUCAGGUCACUCAUCCUCUCCUACAACCAGCUGACCGGCCCGAUCCCGCGUGACGACGCGCAGGACGAGAUCAACACCGUGGACCUGUCCCACAACCGGCUCACGGGCGACGCGUCAUUCCUGUUCGCCGAGGGCCGGCCCAUCGGGAAGGUGGAUCUCUCGUGGAACGACCUCGAGUUUGAUCUCAGCAAGCUUGUUUUCCCCAAGGAGCUCACGUACCUAGACCUCAGCCACAACCGCAUCAGGGGUACAGUUCCCAGGUCGCUCGAGGCGCUCUCCACGCUGCAGACGCUGGAUCUCAGCUACAACCAGCUCUGUGGCCCGCUCCCCAAGCUGCACGGCGUCAUGCGACACGGCUGCAAGCCCUACGAGCAUAACAUGUGCCACCGCGGGGCGCCGCUCGAGGGCAGCUGCCACCAGCUGCUGUGAGCGAGCUCUCGCCGGCCGGAUGGAGGCGUACGUAUUUUACAUGUGUGCGUGAUGAUGACGGUGUGCUUUUGGGGGGUUUAGUAGUGUAAACUAGUGGUGACGCAUGCCCUGACACGCGUGGUCGUCGUCCUUGAGGCUUUGUGUACGUACGACACGCGGCGGGAGGUGUGUGCUUGCCGGUGUGCACGUACCGUCCGGAGAUGCGAGUGUGUUUCCAAAUGUGUUUGUGACUUUGUGUUCGGAUGGAGGGAUUCCGAACGAUUACCAGAUGUAUCAAAUGUUAAAUGGUAAUUAUAUCUGCCUGCCUUUUUAGUAUACAUACAAACUUUGGUUGGUUGGUGACGAACGAACUUGCGAAAUGAAUUUCCCUGGCGUUUUGGGGGGACUGAUGGCAGUCUGUGUCUAGUCUAGCAUGCAUGCAUGUACAUUUGUGCUAGUCCACCACUGCCCCGGACACGCCGUCUUUAUUUUCCGGUAGAUGGUUGUAGCAGAGGGGUAGGUAAAGAACUUCAAGUUCAGUCUCAAGCAUAGUAUCAACAUGAGAUGCUACGGGGGCAGGGGCUCCAACCUCUGACCCAUGGUUGACUGUUCAAAGCGAACAGGUUACUGGUACUCAGAGCUGCUGGAGUAGUUUGUGGAGGAAACCUUCCUAGUACUACAACAACCGAAUGGGCAUGGCUCAAGUAACCAAAGGUUUGAUCAACGAUGAUGUUACGAAAUGAUGGUUGCACAGAAUGCUCCGGAAAUCCGUACUGCCGCUUCCUUCUCCAAACAACGAACCCACGCACGCAGCUGUAGUAGUAGUACAAGAAUCCGUUGCGUAUACAUGAUUCGAGUUCAAAUUUGAAGGACGUUGGACGCAUUAAAGCCAGCAACGGUAACCUUGCCAAACUUCCGACUUUCCAAAUUUGAAGUACUCUACAUUUCGGCAUGGCACUGUAUACUGCACACUCUGGCAUCGGUGAUUCCGUGAGCAGCACUGUAGACUGCGCACUUCGGUUGAAGCAGCCCAUUCGACGAGACGAGACGAGCCAUUCGUAUGGCCGACUGGCGUCUACAGCAGACUACAGCGAAAGGACGAACGUGGUCCAGACUCCAGAGAAACGACCGAGGGCGCCGUGCUCGCGCACAAGGCCCUAUCCAGCCAAGCACAGAACAUGGAGCAGCACGGGGUGCGGCCCGUGUGAUCUCUUUCCUGCUGCUUUCUUGCGAUUUUGCCCAGGCUAUUGGGGGCCGAAACUCGUUGCUACUCCCCGCUGACGGGCCCUGGUUCCAUCCACUGUUGGGCUCUGGUUAGCCGGCCAUUAGCCGAGAAAAUACAACGUAGUCAUUCUUAACCGAGCUCUUGGGCUUUGUUUUAAAAAAAAACGAGCUCUUGGGCUCCUAAUUCAAUGCCUUCGAACAAGUAAGCAUAACCUUUCGCUCAAAAAAAAAAGUAAGCAUAACCUUAUUUCCAAAGCAUGCACAAUGUAAGAUUUCUCAAAAAAAAAAACAUGUACAAUGCAAGAUGUCAUGUGUUUAGAAAAAUUAAACGGUUUUUUUUAAUCACCGGUGAUAGGCAGAUGCCUAAGUUGGCACCUCUCCUGUACAAAUAAACACUGGUGCUUAAGAUGUUGUUUAGUUUAUUUUCGUAAGCACAAAUUUAAGCACCUUGCAUUGUAUAUGCUCUCAUUGGACCUGCACGGUUAUCUAAAUCUAGGAACUCAUCUCGAUGUUCCUCUUUCCCUAGAAAAAAAAACUCGACUUAGUUUCAUGUUACCGCGGCCGCACGGGAGAACGACUAAGGUUUUGAGGCAGAGUCACCUUCAGCUGUCGGAAUUUGUUGGUUUUCAUUGCCUACUGCCCCGUUUUGACACUGCGAGGCAGAGAGAACCUCGGAUCUUCAUUAAAGCAUCCAGAAGUUAAUAUAUGGUGUGUUGUCAUCAUCGGUAACGCUAUGAGGCUGCGAUGUCUGAAAUAAAAGUACUCUUGUUCUUUCUAUGUUGCGUCAUUAGCUUAUCAACGGUGCCACAAGGCUAGAGAAUUGUACUCAUUGCUUGUUUAUGUCUUCGCAGAUUCAUUCAUCCGGAUGCAUGAGUUUUUGUCAAUGUGCCAUGAUGCUUUCAUGUUGUACAAUUUUUUGUGGCUUUGGAGACUUCUCUAACAUUUGAGUUAACAUCUUGUGGUUCGAUGGCAUGCACCUUUAGGAGGUCAUCCCUGACCCCAAGUACGUUCAGCGGCCAUGGUUUUUCAUCUUUUCGGAUGAGCGACUCAGCGCUCAAGUGACCUUUUGAAACAUUUUUGAAACAUUUGAAGGUAGUCACGUUUGUGCAAGGGUACAAGUGUUUAUGUUGCCGCUCUAGUCUAAAGCACUGUCUUUGUUGAAGUCUUUACAAUAUUUCAUGUUGUAAGAAUUGAUACCAUGGAGUGCGUAUUCAGAUAUUUUAUUUUCAUUCUUAGUUGUAACAGUUACUUCGUAAUUUUUGUGGACUAUUAUUGAAAACACUAUACCUGUAGUGAUUAUCGAGUUUGAAUAAAGUUUCUACUGAUUAUCAAAGAAAAUUGUUUUUUCUAUAAAAAGUUACCUAAAACUGAGAAACAUGUAGUUGGACGGUUGGAUGCCUCAUUGAUUUGCGGGAUAGGCAAACAUAGUCAUAGGAAAACACAUGAUUGUAACGUUAUGCACAUUUGAGUAUUGUUUGAUUGAACAAACAAAAACAAAAACAAAAAUCUAUGAAAUGUAGUGCAAAUGAAUCAUUUUCUAUUAAAAUACUUUGAAUCGAAUAGGCUAUGAGUGCUUACAUAUUCGCUCUGAACAUACCCGAGUCUUUCUUUUCUUUUUUUCGAGAAAACGCAACCCUUAUGUCUCGAUGCAUUUAUAUAAAAAAUGUAUUUACAAGUUCAAGAACAGGCCAACACAACCGAUCACUCAAAACAAAAACACGACCAACGACCGCUAGACGACCAUUACAACCAACGUCACCAAACAACCCUAGGCCUAAAUGUCAAAACACAAUAGUAUGGGAUAGCGAAGAAGGCGCGGCCUACCGGCCUCGCAAAACUCGAAGACAAGCCUGUGAGCCGGCUCGUCAACUACAGAAGCCUCAGGACGUCGAUCGCCGGCGCUCGUCCCGAACAUUGCGCCACCAUAUCUCACCGCUCCCAUGUUGGUCAUAACAAAGGACUAGUUUCGUCCGUCGAUACCUGUCGAGUGCACCCAUGCGACCAAGGUGCCGCAGCACGGGAUCCUCCGCUAACCACUACCUUUUCCGUCCAAGGUGGCGCACUUUAUCGGUCCAGGGAAUGACUUGUCUUUUUACCGUUCACUUGUCUAAAGAUUAUCAGUCAUCGUUUAAAAAGGACUCCAUGCCUGCACACGGCAUACCGCCUAUUUUAUUCCAACGUGCUUAUUUGCUUGGCUGUGUAUGAUGUAAUGUGCUCCCUUGAGCGUUUGACCGCGACUCGGCAAGCAGGAAGCGUCGACGACUAUACACUUGUUACUUUGUUAGUAGUAUAAACUUUCUUCAGUUUGACGUUCCGGAUUCUAAGAAGGACCCAAAGACUUCCUCCUCUCCCGUGCGUCCUUUUAAUAUUUGAACGGGAGCUACAUAUGGAAAGGCAUCAUCUGUGUUUUGAUUGAAGCAACCGCUACUGCACGAAUACCGACCGCGUCGGCCGUCAAGGUCGAUCCCUGCCCGGUCGACCACGUCCACACUGUCCAGUUCGCCUCUUCAAGCGUGGCAUGGACUUGUUUUCUGCAGCCGGGCUGACCACCACUGGGUAGCUGCAACAGCAACAUGAUGCUAAUAUAAUCAAAUUUACCGGCCGUUUCAUGACCCAGCCAACCGAUUAAUUUGGUCGUCAUCGGCCGGCCUGCGUCCGUGCUUCGCCGGACAGGCUGACCAGUUUUUUUUUUAAACGACCAUCGACCGGAUUCCAUUAUCAGAAAAUAAUGGAAUACACAGUUCACCCCCAACGAGUUUGCAAUCUUGCUGACAGAGCAGGCAAGAAACAAUGCUCAAAAGAAAAAGGAUAUAAAACAGGUAGCAGUAAUAUAACUGACUAAAGGAGGAAAGACGCUGGCACUCAAGGCCAGAAAACAAAAUCUCAAGUUUGUUCCAGCAGAGAGGAAUCUUGAUCUGAUCAUAAAGUGCACAGAGCUUAUCAUACUCCCCUUGCCUGCUUCUUCUCCGAGUCCUCGGUUGAUGUUGAGUCCCCAUCAUAAGUAUCCUGGAUUCUCCCCACAUCCAUCCUUGCCUGAUCUUCAUGGUGGCGCAGCGCCUCAGCCUGGAAUGCCGUAGCACCCAUUAAAAGAUGAACUUUGUCCUGGUCAGUUUACUUCCCUGCCCAGUAUCUCACGACGAAAAGGGAAACUGUACGUACCAACAGAGGAGCACGGAUAGGAACAAAGGAAAUAAUCUACCAGGAGAAAGGGCAAAAAACAAGGGUACUGGUCACGACGUCCGGUGUUCGUACGGUGAGAACAUUCAACUCCACAUUUAUGGCCGCACGAACGAGUGUUCCACAGGGUACGAUGAGAUUAUUGCCUGUCUUUUUGUUUUUUUGGCUCUAGACUGUCGACGUUCCGCACGAACAAGUGUCAGGCAGGGUACGAUGAGAUUGCCCCUUUGGCUCUAGCUUGUGGAUGAGCCCGAGCCAUAUGAAAGAGGACGUAUUUUGAUUGGCAUUUUCCACACUGCGAUGCGACCAUGAUCGAUCGGAACAUAUUUUCAUCCGCGUCUGGAUUGUCACAUCGACGAGCGACCAUCUCGAUCGUCAUAUGAAAGAAGAAGAAUACAUUCCUAAUGCAUCCUACGACAAAUGGAAAAAUUGCUAGUACUAUGAACGAACCUUGGUGUCACAAGUAAAUUUGUUUGCUUCGCCUCUCUUUCAUCCAUGCAUCUGCGUUUGUCAACUUUGCCUGCUUGUCAAUAUUAUGAAGCCUCAAUGUAAGCAGACUAAUUGUAAUGAGGAUAUCCCAAUGAUGAGCAUAAUACAAUGCAUCGCAAGAGCUCAUGCUAAAUAAAUACAAUACCAGGUGUUUUUUUUCAUACCUAGGACACCAUCUAAUAUUCAUGAGAACGUCAUUCUACUUAACACGUCAACUUUGUGUAUCUUUAGGUUUGACGAGAUGGAAGAAGAAAAUGAGAUCAAAUAAAUUUCAUAACAAGAUGGACAGGCCCAGGAUAUGUCCUACAUGUUCAUCCACAAAUUUGAACAUGGAGGAUAUUCUUCGGGGCUUGUUCUACAUGUGCAACCACAUCUUCUACUGUUCAAAUGGUGUUGAAUUGGCGUUUGUAAUGGGCUAUGUAAUAGUAUAGUUAUAUGCAACCCCAUUUUCUAGGGUCAUAGAAGAAUUUAGAAAAUAUUAUAGUUUUAAUCCUUUCCUUAGAGUUUUAAAUCUUGCACUUUCUUUUUCUUGUGUUUGUAAAAAUUGAAGAGACGCAAAGAGGGUCUCUUUGAGUGAAGCUCGAGACAUUCAUCAAAUGUUUUGCUGGGUAAGCUAAUUGUCAAAUGCUAUCACAUUAGUGUGUGUUGUAGCUAUUUGACUCAUGGGACUGAACAAGUUAUUUGUUCUAAAGAUGAAGAUCGAGACCUUCCCACAUGAUGCAACGCCAUUCUUUAGUUGCAUAUUCACCUAAAAUUGCAGCAUAAAAGAAUGGCGUUGAAAAUAUACAAUUUUUAGGAACAUGUAACAUGUGUAUUUUCAUUAUGGAAGUAAAGUGAGAACAAAGGCUAGAUAUCGAUUAAAAGCUUAAAAAUGUGAAGAAGUUUUUAAUAUUUUGGGCAACUUCUAGUUAAACAACUCGUAACAUCAAUAUUUUGCUUGAUUUCCACACUCCUACGAUAAGAUGUUCCUUUAUACCUAUGAAAGCGUCAAAGCUGGAUUGCUAUGAUUAGACAGCACAAAACUGCACAAAUCAUGCUUGAUGACAAUUUAAAUCCACUCACCUAACCAUCCUCUUUUCCCUUUACUAGCCCCCUUCAUCGCUCUCCUAAAAGUUUCUGCUAAAGUCGUCUCACCAUUAAACAAGGCCACGUACUGCAAGAGACGGAAAGAAACGAAAAUUAAUCAAACAAAACAAACAAGCAGGAAAAAAACGAGAGAGAAGAAGGCAACACGAACAACAGAAUAGUAGAGCUCAAGCAAAGAUGAGUAGAGGGGAAGGAAAAAAAUAGAGGGGAAAACAAAAGAAAGGCGAGAGAUCUUUGACCAGCUCCGGUCUCACUCGCCUUCCAUCUCCUUCCUUCCUCCUCCUCGGCCCCGUCGUUGGUUGGCUUUACCCACUGGCGGAUUCCCACACGGCCCAGACGCCGCCACCGCUGACCCCGUCUACACCAAAUCCCCCCGCACAAUUUAACCACCCCACUCCCCCCUUCUCUCUUCUCUCUCUCCAUCUCCACACACACACCAAACGCGCACGCCGUCCGCCGGUUCUCGAUUUGGCCUGUUCCCCUCUCUGCUCUGCUCUCUUCUGCUCGCAGAUCUCCUUUGGUCGGGCGGUUUCUUGAUUUGGGGGUCCGCGUGCUGCGGGGUAUUAUUGGCGGGAGAUGGGCAACUGCUGCGUGACGGCGGGGGAAGGCGGCGGGAGUGGCAGGAAGAAGCAGCCCAAGGAGCCGAAGCAGAAGAAGGGCAAGAAGCCCAACCCUUUCUCGAUCGAGUACAACCGGUCGGCGCCGCCGGGGGCCACGAAGCUGGUGGUGCUGCGGGAGCCCACGGGGCGGGACAUCGCCGCGCGGUACGAGCUGGGCGGGGAGCUAGGCCGCGGGGAGUUCGGGGUCACCUACCUCUGCACGGACCGCGCCACAGGGGAGGCCCUCGCCUGCAAGUCCAUCUCCAAGAAGAAGCUCCGGACAGCGGUGGACAUCGAGGACGUGCGCCGCGAGGUUGAGAUCAUGCGCCACCUCCCCAAGCACCCCAACAUCGUCACCCUCAGGGACACGUACGAGGACGACAAUGCCGUGCACCUCGUCAUGGAGCUCUGCGAGGGCGGGGAGCUCUUCGACCGGAUCGUCGCACGGGGGCACUACACCGAGCGCGCCGCCGCAGUGGUUACCAAAACCAUCGUCGAGGUCGUGCAGGUGAGACUAGCCCGAUGAUUUCCUGAUGCCUUGGUCGUUUUAUGGUUGCAACGGUGUUAGAUUGUCUUUUGAUAAGAUCGUCUUCAGAGUAUUCUGGAAGAUGUUCAUUGGGGAUUCAUGGUAGAAUUUACUCGUAUACUAUAGGGGCCUAGGGCAAAGUUACUGUAGGUGAGAUGGAGUAGGUUAUGAUCGAAUUUGUGAAGCAAUUAGUUACUCUAUGCUGUUCUUCAUUAGCUAUUCAUGCCUGCAUCUUUAAAUUGGUAGCUGGAUUGCUGCAACUCCCCCUUUUUGUGUGUGUACGAAUAACGCUUACACUGUUUCCGUCCCUUACAAUAUCAGAUGUGCCAUAAGCAUGGGGUGAUGCACCGGGACCUCAAACCAGAGAAUUUCUUGUUUGCAAACAAGAAAGAAACCGCGGCACUUAAGGCAAUUGAUUUUGGCCUCUCUGUAUUUUUCACUCCAGGUACAAUCAUGAUAUCAUAUAUUUCUUAUAUAGCUGCUCCCUCCGUUCCUAAAUUCUUGUCGCUGUUUUAGUUCAAAUCUGUACUAAAACAGCGACAAGUAUUUAGGAACGGAGAUGGUAUCUCCGAAGCUUUCUGUUUUAACCCAUCUGUCACUUGCCUGAUAAUAUGAUCAGAGGACAGUGCCAAUAGAGUGGCCUCUCUGCUGUCUAUUUAGUUUAUAUGUUGUUUUCCUAUCAUGCUGAUUGUUCAUUAUGUGUAGGUGAACGGUUCACUGAGAUUGUUGGAAGUCCUUAUUACAUGGCUCCGGAGGUGUUGAAGAGAAACUAUGGCCAAGAGGUUGAUGUUUGGAGUGCAGGAGUGAUUCUCUACAUUCUUCUUUGUGGUGUUCCUCCAUUCUGGGCAGGUUAGUUUUGCACUUGAAAAGAGCAACUAUGACUGUCAUAUGUCAACUAAGUUAAGCAUUUAGGAUGAUAAUAAAAAGUGGAAUGUGUCUGUGUUCUGAUCUCCUGUCUUUGAAAAUGGACCGUGUGUCACAUUCUGCAAUGAUGGGAUUUCUCUUUUUUGUCUAAUUUGCAAUGUGGCGAUAAUCUGUGUACUGUGGUUGAGCAAAAUAUAUUUAUCUUGUGCUAUUGAAAGUUCUGUCAGAAUAAUAUGUUUGUUAUUUCCAUUUUAUAAUGCAGAAACUGAACAAGGUGUUGCUCAAGCAAUUAUCCGUUCUGCCAUUGACUUUAAAAGGGAUCCAUGGCCAAGGGUCUCUGAUAAUGCAAAGGACCUUGUCAGGGGAAUGCUUAACCCAGAUCCAAAGCGGCGAUUAACAGCCCAGCAAGUACUUGGUAAUAAUCAAAUUCUCACACUAGUUAAUUGUACGGUGUUUCAUUUCUUCUGUUCUUCUUGAACCAACAUGGAUAUGCUUUCCAUCCUCAAAAUGUGAAGAUUCUGAGUUACAAAGAUGCAAAAUUUAUAAUCCAAGUUCAGAAACCUUGCAAUUAAAAUUGAGUAGAUAUAUAUUUCUGAAGAUUUCUGCCCUAUAUAUAUUUAUUGCUUUUGCUCAUGAUAGUAACUUGUAUUUUCUUCCAGAUCAUCCGUGGUUGCAAAAUAUUAAGAAGGCACCAAAUGUCAAUUUGGGUGAAACUGUCAAGGCCAGACUUCAACAAUUCUCUGUGAUGAACAAGUUCAAGAAGCAUGCACUUAGGGUAUACCUCAGUCUGGCCCGAACCUCAAUUGAUCAUGCCUUUCGACAAUUCUCUUUGAUUUCCUUUCUUGGAACUUCCUCACAUGUUUUUUUUUGCUACAGGUCAUAGCUGAGCAUCUUUCGGUAGAGGAGGUGGCUGGCAUAAAGGAUAUGUUUGAAAAGAUGGACCUUAACAAAGAUAGUAUGAUUAAUUUUGAUGAGCUGAAGCUUGGUUUGAAUAAGCUUGGACACCAAAUGCCUGAUGCAGAUGUCCAAAUACUAAUGGAUGCUGUGAGUAAUCAUUACUAUUUUCUGUCAUUAUGGGAACCUCUUGCAGCUCUUUGUUAUUAUAUUGGAUUGUAGUUAUUUUUGUAGAAACGAGAACCACCCUUUCCGUAGUGUUAUCAACUGGGUCUCAUAAGUAACUUAUCAGAUAUCAAAAUCCAAAAUCAUGUCAUUUAAAUUCGAUAAAAUGAAAUCGUUAGCAUUCUUUAAUGAUAGUGAUAGAUACAGUUUCUACUGUUCUACAUACUACUAUGUGUUGAAGGUGGUCGUUAUUUUGUGUUUUAUACUCACCAUUUGCUCAUUAUGUUAUGUCAGGCGGACGCUGAUGGAAAUGGAUGCUUAGACUAUGGAGAAUUUGUUACUCUGUCCGUUCACCUAAAAAAGAUUGGCAAUGACGAGCAUCUGCAUAAGGCAUUUGCAUACUUUGAUCGGAACAAGAGUGGAUAUAUUGAAAUUGACGAGCUCCGCGAGUCAUUAGCGGAUGACCUGGGACACAAUCAUGAAGAGGUUAUCAAUGCCAUCAUCCGCGAUGUGGACACUGAUAAGGUUUGUGGUUCCUCACCAGUUAGUUGGUAAAGCAUGGCAGUUUUGUUUCCCGUCUUUUGGACAGCUAUUAUUUUGACUGUGACUGAAAUGCUGAACGUUGUGAUUCAAAAUGUAGGAUGGCAAGAUAAGCUUUGAUGAGUUUGUGGCAAUGAUGAAGGCUGGAACGGACUGGAGGAAAGCCUCGAGACAGUAUUCCAGAGAACGGUUCACUAGCCUUAGCUUAAAGCUGCAGAAGGAUGGAUCGUUGCAGAUAACAACCCAAUAGUAGAUGAUAACGCAAUAGGCAAGUUGUGAAUUCCAGAUGGAAAAACCUUGUGUAGCUUCCUGGUUCUUCGUUGACAACUGUUUCUUCUGUUCGUCUCGAUACUCUGUUGCUCUCUAUUUUUGCUUGGUAUCUUGAUGAAGCAUUAGUUGAUUGUUGAAGAUUUGUUUGUACUUAGAUUGUGUGAUCCAGGCCAUCACGAACACCACGCCUUUGGCCAAAUGUACUGUUACUGUACAAGAGAAAGAGGAAAAACACGGUGGUUGUAUGCAUUUCUUCUCUUCUGUUGGCAUGUAGAGGAUGUACGCAGAGAUUCAUGAAUCAUCGCAAGGUCACAACAAAUUCUAAAAUUUGGUAGUGUCAGCUAAAAAUACAAAGUUUCAUUUUGGAGUGUUCAAUAUUUGUUCCAGUCUCUACCUAGAAAAGGAUCUUCGGAGUAGAUUUUUUUUUUGAGUAGAUUUGAACACCUAAAAGUUUGACUUGUUAUAUUCUUGUGAAGAAUCUAUGACAUUGUAACGGGCACAGAACAAGGUGAGGACGCAUUAAAUGUGCCAAAUAUAUUUGUUGGAUCUGGUCGGCACAAGUUGCUGUCUUGUUAGUUGUCACAGAUAUUUGCGACCGAAAGGGGGUUGCCGUCCUGGAGCAGACACUGCACCAGCAGCCAGCAGUACCAGAUUAGGCCCCGGAGCAUUGGAUUGGAUAUGAGUUAGUUCGAGCUGGUUCUUCUCAAGUUCUCUUUGACCUUUGACCCGUGUUCUCUCUGUUUUCUUCUUGCCAUUACAAUAAAUAUGUGUGUUCUCAUGAUGAUGGACCCACUGACACUUUGGUCAAAUGAGAAGGUAAUUUGAAGUAAUUAGUGGACAACGAUGACGUCGGUGAUGCAGCCGAAUGCAUGGAAUUUCACUGGUUGUGCAGUUUGCUUGCAAACAAGCACUCUUGCUUGGCGAUGAAACCAGGCUAAGAAAAAAAAAUGGGGCAAAAAGGUGGACUGGAUGGAGUUCUUCCUUUUCCACAUCAAACUUGUGCAGUAGUCUGUACGCACCGUUGUAUGUGUCAGAUGAGACGAUCAUGAGAGCGCGGAAUCACCGAGACUUGCGAGAAAGUUACGGUAGACUUUUGGUCAAUAAGUGAAAAGAACGGGGGAAAAAUAAGGAUCGGAUCCUAGCAUAAGAUUGGACUACGUCCAAAACAUUAAAAAAAAAAGCACUGCCGUAACAUUGUAUUUCUACACAUGUAAAACAAAAACAUAUUUCGGCCGACUCAUAAUAAGUGUCUCAAAUCUAAUACAAAGUUAGUACAAAACUGUACUAAACCUGAGACACUUAUUAUGGAUCGUAUUCUUAAAUUUCCAAAACUUAUGAAGCACAUAGCCAAUGGAUAAAAACUCACCCUUCUAAAUUUUAAUUAAAAAAAGAUAACCAUUUGUGAGCCAUGUAAAAAUCACAAAACUGGACACAAAACAUGAUUUGUAUGCAUGUUGAGAAUUAUGUUGAGAAUUACAAGGAGACGUUCCUACUGAUUCUCCGUAUGCAUGAUUUAUUGUGUAGUUUUUUAGAACUUAAAAUUAUACCUUUUUGGUUAAGUUUUUUUUUUCUAGAAUUAUCCAAGUAUUGUAUAUUGAAGAAGAGAGACUGCAGAGUAGUUACAACGCCCCUAGGGUGUGGGUAUCUUACACGCUCACACCUACUCCACACAUUGCCCACUAAGCUAUCUUCUUCCCGACCUUUGAAAAUACCCGCUUGCCACCAAAGUCUACCUUUCAUCUCAAUCACAUGCAGAAUGCUCGCGAUCUCUGGUCUAGCCCCAUCAAAGAUAAUUGCGUUCCUAUGCUUCCAGAUUGACCACCACACCAGAAUAAUACCCGUCGCCAGGUAUCGCCUAUCCGAAGCAGCAACCCUCAUGUCAGACCACCACGCGGCUAAGGAGCUAUCACAACUGGGCUGUCAUUCCGGUCGUCUCCAAAGCCCUAGAAUUUUGAACCAAACUUGACGAGCAAAAAUGCAUCCAAGCAGGAGAUGAGCAAUGGAUUCCGACACCUAAUCACAAAAAGGGCAAAGCGUCGGAUGGGGAAAACCUCUUCUCGCCAACCUGUCGGCAGUCCAACAACGGUUCUGCAGCACUAACAACACAAAGAAUUGACAACGCAUGGCCGCCCUCGAUCUCCAAAGCUCCACAGAACAAGGAAUAGAUUCUCUUCCGCCAAAGAAAGCCGCAUAGGCAGAGGAGGCGGAGUAGAUGCCGGACGACGUCCACCCCAACCGGAAGGUGUCCACAUCAGUCGUAAACUCAAUCUGGCCGACCAGCUCCCACGCCACGAGGAACUCAAGAAUGGCUUGUUCCGAGAGGUUGGGAUCCAUGAGCCUCACCCAACCAUGCUCACACAAAGCAAGAGGUUGCAGACGUUAAGCAUUGGAACAACAGCGGGGCACAGUCCGCGAGACUGUCACAAGGAAGCCACCGAUUAGUCCAGAAGGAGACAUCCUGCCCACACCCAAUCGAGACUGUCAUGGCUGCCUCUGCAAUUUCACAGGCAGGCGACAGAAGUUGCAGCCGGAACUCCCCCCACGGUUUGUUGGGCUCAACUUUGCGCAGCUAACACCAUCUAGCUCAGAGAGCCAGGUUCAAUAGCCGUAGGUUAGGGAGACCCAGGGCACCAAACUACUUGGGAGAGCAGACCUUGUCCCAAACCACCAGAGAGUGUCUGCCGCGGGCCUCCUUCCGACCAUGCCACAAUCAAAUUAGUUGAAUGUUUGUAGAUUUAUUUUAUGUAGAAACGCAAAUGCAAAAUCUAAAAGACCCAAUAAAUGUACAUUUAGCAAUGAUUUAAUAAUUUGUUUUAAAAUUAAUCAACUUGAUGCAAUUGUUACGUCAUCUGAAACUUGAUGCAAUUGUUACGUCAUCUGACACGAGUUUGUCUUUCCAUCGUCUUAAACAUUACGAGUCGAUAGUUUGCCCAGCCCUCCACAACUCCUUAUCUCCUUGCCGAGCGACCCAGCCCCCUCGCUCUUCGUCCUCCUCGGUCUUCCUCCUCGCUCGAGCGCCUCCACCGCAGGUUAAUCUCCCCUUCGAUUCUCUCGCUCCCGACCGUUUCUCCUCCCAUCACCCCACGAACGGAUUCCGCCCUUUAGAUCCCCGUUUCAUAACCUUCCCCAAUUCGUAACUGAGGAAAAAAUUAGUGGACCUCCAUAAUUUCUGGGUGUGCCGGUGCACACGCAGCACACCAGCUAGAUUCUCCCAUGCGCCACAUUCCCCACAUCAUGACCGACUCUGCAUUAGGGAGGAAAAUACCUGCGUUCCCCCGGCCUCUUAAUUUCCCCUUUUUGAUUGGAAUUAUCUCUUGUCCAGGAUGGUGACCGGUUAUUUUAAGAAGACGAAUUAAUUCUUUCCAAGAGAGCAAACUAAGCUGUACUUGAUGCAAUUAAUAGUUUUUUUGUAAACCUGUAGUGCUAACUUCAUUUACAUGCCUCUCCAGGGAAUUGUGCAAGGCCAUUUUUAUACAAAAUGGUUCUCUGUCAAGGCUUAUCUGCUGGACAUGCCCAACUGUUCGCUUUUCCUGCUGCUAAGCAUAAGCCUUUCCUCUUAAGAAGAUCGUGCCUUCGUAUUCCAGCAGGAUCGCUGAGUCCAAAGAGCGUACGGCUUCAAUCUGAGAGCAAGAAUUUUUCGGUACGAGCUGUGCAAGGUAUGCAUGUAAUGAAAUAAUUUUCUUCUGGUUAAAUUUACUGCAAUGUAUGAUGCAUAUGCUCUUUUAGACGUGUAUGGUAGAUCGUCCUUAUUCCUUGGGUCUCCAAUGCAAAGUUAUAGUGCUUGUUUGUUAGAUCAAAAGGUAAAGUGUUGUAUAUUUAAAAUGCAAACUUCUUUCUGUUCUUUAUACAAUAUGCUGUCAUUCUCUUACCUUCGCAUACAAAUACGGGGAGGGUUAGUUGCAUUUAGUAGAUAGCAGUACUUUGUACUCUGGAGUCUGGACAAUUAAGUGUCUGUAAAGGUACAUCUUUAGAACUACGCUAACACUUUUUUUUAGUCUGUGCAUGUCCAAGUGCUAAACUAGAGUAUACUAUUGAAUAAUGCAGUUUACUAGUCUAGCGGGGUUCAAAAUAUGGUGAACUCUGUUCUUCUUUUUUUGUAGCAGAACAUCAUUGUUCAGAAUUUUACAAUGUGUGCCAUUCUUGUACUGGACUGCAAGUAUGAUCUACCCUGAAAUAAUUGCUGUUUAUAUGCUGAUAAAUUAUUGCAUCUUAAACUGCGUGGCUUCUGCUGGAGUAUUUUACAGAUUACCUUACACUCUUACAGUGUCUAACACUAAAUUUGAUUUAAACAAUUACAGCCUGCUAACAGUUAGAAACUCACAGAAAUGAUAGCUAAAACUUGAUAUUGCAUAAUCUUUAGUUCCCCUUAGCAACAAUUUUUUGCAGAAGUAAGCUUCAGGGUUAUAUGUUGGAAUUCUGUAGUACUCCCUCCGAUCCAUAUUAAUUGUCGAAAUAUUACAUGUAUCUAGAUGCUUUUUAGGCAUAGAUACAUCCAUAUUUGGUUGGAUCGGAGGGAGUAUGUAUUGAUAUCUAACACAAUAACUUGAUGGAAAAACUUCGCUGAACUUGUACUUGAACUGCUAGUAUAGCAUGGCUGAAAAUUUGAAUUAAACCACUGAAAGACCAUCUAAACCUGCAAGGGUGCCACUGCUUGAACAUAUUGGUAUUAUUUUAAUCAUCGAAUUUAGCAUUGAAUUACCAUUUCUUUUUCUAAUUUCUGGAAUGCUCAUUUGUACCAUCACUGUCUGUGAUUCCUAGCAACAUCUUGUAUGUUCUUGUGAGGACAAAAAAUUUAUGGACAAUUUGCUGCAUUAAACACGGUACAAAUUGACAGUUCAUGAUCAAGCCAAUGGUGAAAUAUGAAUAUUUUCUCAUGAUGUGUAUUUGACUUAUCCAGAGUGUUAAUCAGUCUAACAUAUACCAUCAUAACUUGCGAUCCACUUAUAUUAUACUUUAAUGUUGGUUAGAAUUAAUCUUGGAACUGCGGUAUAUUUACAUGAAUUGUAUGUGUCAGUAUGUGUCUUGUUAGGUAGCUUGCUUUGAUUUCAUUUUGUUACUUGGAUUCUGACACUUGAUCUGAAUUGAUAACACUUAUUUCUUUGAAUAAAUUUCACUGUAAUUAUCAGCUAUAUCUUGCAGCUGGCACUGAUUUUCUUCAAAAUGACACGCUCACAUCAUUUCCGAGGAUGAGUUCCAUCAAUGGAAUUCCACCAUUAUUGACCCAGCACAAUCAGUGUCGAAGAUCUGAAGUUGGUUGUCGGGCUUCAUCUCUAGCAUCAUUCAGCUAUCCUGAGUUGACUGCCAAACCAAGAUGGUGGUGGAGAACUCUAGCAUGUGUGCCAUACUUACUGCCACUCCACAACAUGUGGUCGUAUGCCGAUGUCAUCUACCAAUUGCACACGUACUUGCAGGGAUUUUCAUUGGUUUACACCUUUAUUGACACCAUGACACUGCUCCCGGGGUGGCUCUUGUUGGUGAUAUUUAUGACUGUGUACUUCUUUGUCGUGAGACGGAAGUGGUCACCCCACUUCAUGAGGUUCCAUGUGAUCUUGGCUAUCCUCCUAGACACCGGUUCCCAAGCAGUGGCAACGAUGUGCACCUGGAUGCCCAGCAUCGUGUACCAGGGGAAGCCCAUGCAGCAUUUCUGGAUGGCUAUUGCUUUCAUACAGAUCUUCACGGUGCUCGAGUGCAUGCGGUGUGCUCUUGCUGGGAUGUAUCCAAACGUUCCUUUCAUAUCCCACACAGCUUUUAUCCAUUCUGAUCUGAAUCUCUUCAGGUAGCCAACUGCUCACCAUACCAGGUUUUGGAUAUUGGAAGGAUGGAAAGGGAGAGGGAGGUGCAGAUAGGGUAGUAUUUUUGCAAUAACUACUUACAGUUCUAUCGACAACAUUUUGUUUAUAUUUGCCAGCAAUUUGACCUUUUUCUGUUGCAACAAAAACCCAAACGGUACAAGUGUUUUAGGUAACGCUGUUGACCUUGAAUUUGACCUUUUUCUGUUGCAAUUUGACCUUUUUCAGGUAACGCUGUUGAUUGUCGCAGCUGUUGAAUUGCUUAAAGUGUUUUAGUUAUCUGCAAUUUUGUGUCUAGAAACGUGUGAAUUCAUGUUUCCUCGUGUGCCUUGAAUUGAGCCCCAGCUGGCUAAAAACAGUUAUCAACCUGUCAUCCUUAAGAGCUUGUACAAUGGUGUUGCUCUGGAACCUUUUCGUCUGCCACGUUACGGAGUAUUUUUUUGUUUGUAAUAUUACUUCUCUGAACAUCGUUUAAGCGCGACUCUGAGAAGCACGAGAUGACAACCAAUGUUAUACGCUCUUUUGGCUAUGAAGUGCUGCUAUGCACUUGCAUCAUCAACUAUCUUUACCAUUUUAUAAAGGAUGCAGUUUUUAGCACUGAGGAAUACAAGAGACAACAUAUGACGCUACCGUUGUAUUUUCUGUUGAUUCACAAUGUGGUGGAAACCACAUCAUGGUGAAAACCAUGUUCACAAGUUUAAAAAAAUGAUGUCUAUGCAGGAAUUUAUGUUCUAUAAACAUGUAAACAACGCAGUUCAAACUAACGUUAAUUUCGAAGUCUGGUAAGUCCCCCACCCCACCCACCCACCAACACACACACACCCCACUAUCUCUGCAAAUGUGAUUGAUCAUCAUUUUUAGUUGUUUGAAUCUUGCAUGAAUCUCAGUGAUCGAAUUAGACGGUUGUUGGCAUCGACUUAGAAAUAGCUAUUUCUUAAUCUCCUUAGAAAUAGCAAAACCGCAUAAAUAUAUACAGAGUAUUAUUUGGUUGAUUUUUCUUAAACUUUGUACACAUGAUCUCAACAUGGUUUAAGCGAUAGAUAAGCCAAAAAUCAGCUACUGCAUGGGUUUCUUUUUACUCUGCAUGUAACCUUGUACUCUCUCCGUUUCACAAUUCUUGUGUUGUUUUAGUGUAAAUUUGAACUAAAGUCUAAAACAACGACAAGAAUUAUGGUACAUGGGAAGUAUUUUUUUUUAAAUAACUGUACAUUUGGACUCUCAAAGCCUUAUUAACCACUUGAUUAAAUUUGUACAUUUGGACUCCCAAAUGAUAUACGGUAUUUAUAAAAGCAAUCAUUAAACUGUUCUAAUGAAGCGAUAAUAAAAUAAAAAAGAGCCGAGCCUUUGCAGGAAUACUUGUAUCAAAAUCAUUUGUACUCCAUAGUGUUAAGGCAAACCGUGGUCUACUUAGUCCAAGUGCCUAAUUUUGGAACACAGAAUUUUCGCAUGAUUGUUGUAUGAAAUAGACGUGAAACCAUUUCUCAAGACAAAAACGUGGUGUAGCAGAGUAAACAUUGUGUCUAAAGGUCAUGAAUUUUUUUGUUAUCACCCUAAAUAUAGUUGUGGUGAGAGAGAAAAAGGCGUCCGUAUACAUAAAAAUAGCAGUAAUCUGAUUUCUGCAGACUAGAAACCCUUUUCUGAAUAACAUACGUAAUCUGAAAACAUUAUACCAUAAGUUAUUUCCCGAUGCUAAAUGCUCGGAGAAAAAAAGAAAGAAAGAACGAGGGCUCGUAUACGAAUCUUGAAUAGUACGGGGAUCAAAUCAGAAAAGGUGUGGUGCGUUAAACUGCCUCGUACUUUUUUUUACCCCGGCUUUCGCGUUGCAGCCGGCGUCGCGUCUCUUGCCCUUUGCUUGCUCGGAGCUCAAAUCGCCGCGGAUUCCUUGGCCUCCAAGCAGCGGCCUCACCCCGGCUCGCGCGCGGCCUAGGCAUCCCGGAUCCUCCUCCGCGGCGACCGAUGGCUGCUCUGCUAGCGCCCGCCAUCUCCGGCGAGGUACGAACCUUCAACUGACCCUGUGUCGCACGGAAAACCUAGAUCGUAAAAGCUGCGUGAGAAAUCUGGCUACGUGUAGAUCGUAGGAGGUUAUAGGGUGUUUCUGUUGGCGCAGUUACACCUUGUUCGUGCUUAAUUUGCCUGGUUGGUUCGUUUCGGGGAGACGAUUUAGGGGAUGGGCUCGCGCCGAAUGUGCGAAUCAUGCUUUGUUUUCCACUAGGAGAGUAGGAGGGUCUGUUAGGGCACAACACCAGCUGCUAGAUACAGCACUAAGGGAUAACCUAUUGUAUCCUAUUCAUCUCAUGUCUAGUUGACGCGGAGAGAAUUAGAGAAGGUCGCCUUUCCUACCACUGUAGGUGCUCUUUGGAUGAUGAAUUAGUGCAGUUAUUUUUGCUCGGUGAUUGCAGCGUCUAUCUGCCAUUGAAUUGCCAUAGGUAAGGUUGCCAUCUACUGCCAGUGCUAGUCGUUUCGUGCUAGUAAAUAGUUGAACAGUGCAUUAUAGGUUAGAUGGGAAGUGCUUCAUGUUUCAUGGACAUUAGAACUGCAUUGCAAUGUAUUCAAAUUUUAUUUGGAUUUGAUGGGCUCUGUAGAUUCAGGAUAUGGCUGCAUUGAGCUUAAAAUAGGGGGGCAAGGGGCAUGCCGCUAGGCCUGCGAAACUGCAUGAAAGCAGUACAAAUGUACUGAUGACACCAAACAGUACAAAAGCUUGAUUCUACCGGUUAACACAUUAAAAAAUAAACGUUCUGUUCCACUGCUUAGUAUAACUAUUGACCAAAUCAAAUUAUGCUGGCAUAACUGGGUUGGUUGUUCAGGUGGUUCAUUUUUGACGAUCCAACAUCCAAGUGGUUUAACUUGGAACACAGAAUUGUAGCAUCUGCAGUGGCACUUAGAUUUUCUAUUUUGGGAGAAUUAGGCUGAUAAAUCUGAUUUCUAACUGAGCCAAUGAUUGUAACUGUAAGUUGUAUUACUGUUCUAUAACUUGUCUAUAACUCGUAAGAAUUCUGAAUGGAUUCUCAAUUCUCUGGCCAUUUUGUGAUAUCCAAUUCAAUAUUUAUUUGCAAGUUCGAGGUACGCUUUUGCUGAAAUCAUCAAACUAUAUUUGGUUUUGUAGGUGGGUUUACGGCUUUUACUGGCCCCAUUAAGCUCUAAUGUUGUCGUCCGCACAGCCAGGUAUACUUCAAAUGAAGUAAAUUUAUUAGCAAUGGUUUUAAUCUGGCUGUUUAUUUUCAUGUUCUGCUUCUUAUAAGUUGAUUGUUUCUUUGUGAAGUUUUUUUUAAAUUGUUAUGUUUUUGUAUUUUCAAGGCAGUUGCAUAGAGCAUGUUAAUGAAUUAAUUAAGAGCUGUCUGGAAUUCAUCAGUAUUUGUAGUUGAUAACUUGCUACAAAUUACUUCUAUUAUCAUUAUUUCUUGCAUAUUAGCAGCAUCCAGUUAAUUAUUUUGUCCAUGGUGAUAGCUGAAAGCAAGUGUAACAUCUCGUAGGCAUAUUCUCAUUUCCUAAAUUCUAGCUGCGUGAGACAGCAUCAUCUGCAUUAUAUACUACUCCGUACAUUCUUAUUGGCUGUUAGGUCUAGGUGGUAAUAUGCUAAUGUGAAGUUACAUGAUACUCUAGUUGGAUGCAACCUAUACUUAUUCUAGCAAACCCUGUUAAAAAAUGAGGGAAUUUUCUGUGGUUAAGAAAUUCAUCAUUGUUUAUGAUCCUCGCUCCAUGCUUGUACAGUUGUGCAGUGGGCAUUGGUCUACCUGUAUAUUCUACUUACAGGGCCAUAGAAAAGAAAGAUCAAGAUGAGAAAGAGCGUUUGCUCCUUUAUUGGGCAGGUCUGUAAAUGAUUUAUACUAUAGUUAUUUUUUCAAUGAUACUGACAAAGCAAUUUCUUCAGUUGACAUUCUUUAUGAAAUACUCUAUUAUUGUACUAGUAUUAUUUUGCUAAAAUAAAAGGUGAAAUUACAUCACGUCAUAGUACCUUUUGAAAUUACUUGUAACUUGUCUGGUAUCUACAGCCACACUCUCCAUUGACUCCAAAUGUAAUUCAGCAUUACUCAAUUAGUUUUGAUGAAAGUGGUAUCUUUGUCAGUCAAGGAGCAACUGCACGAUGACACAUGAAACACUUUUUUGGAUGCUACCAAUCAUCAAAAGAAAACUUGGCGUACAUUAACCCACCUUGUCAUCUUGAUAUGAUUGUUUAGUUGAUGAAAUACCAAUAUGACUAUGGAUAUUGGUAUAAAGACUUCACUGUGAUGUAUGCGAUCUGUAUGUACAUCUCUAAACAAUAGGAAACGAAUGAAAAUGUUUAGUAUGUAUGGGUCAAAUGAACAUUUAACAGGUAUCUUCACUGUGUUUUAGUCUAACAUAUAUGGUUAAGGUUUUCUAAAUUGGUUGUUGCUUGUUACUUGUUACUUGUAACAUUUAUGUCCCUAUGUUUUGCAGCAUAUGGAUCUUUCAGCAUGGUGGAAGUUUUUGCUGAUAAGCUUAUUUCAAGGUAUGGACAUUUGAUGACAUGAUGGAACAUCAGUUUCUUGUUAUUUGUAGCAUGAUUGGCGAUAGGAAUGACACUAAUGUGGCAUCCUUCGUAACCUUUUGGAACUGCUCCUUGUAUCUUUGUAUCAGAUCCCAUGUAAGACAAGCUUCAUGCAAAUAUACACACAGAACAAGUGAACAUGUCUUACAUAUGGAAGUGGCUACAUCCUUUUUAGGCUGUAACUUAUGAGCAACCAAAUGAUUACAAAUUGUGCAAACUAUUUUAGUACCACCGCAUGGAAGGCUUUUGGUUGCCUAAUUUUUUUUUAGUAGCAUCAAUGAGCAGGACGAUCCUGUAUUUGUGAUUACCCCUCAGCCUGCUACGUGCUUAGUUUUAUAAAGCACUGUUGCUUCAUGAUUUAUUAAAUUUAUGUAUGUUAUCCUUGAACUGGAACCUUCUGGUUAAAUCCUUGAUGCAGGAUGCAUCACAGUUUUGUCUGAUUGCUCCUAGUAAGUUACUCCCUCCGAUCCAUAAUAAGUGUUACAAAUUUUGUAGCAACUUAACAUAAAGUUGUACUAAAUCUGAGACACUUAUUAUGGAUCAGAGGGAAUAGAAUACUGGUAUGGAGUGUAAUGGCUGCCAUACCUCGGUGCGGUGUACGGUUCCAAAUACUAAAGGGGACGUGAAUGACUGGGUUCUUGUUUUUUGUUUCGCUGACUGGUUCACCGCAGUAUGCCCCCUUUUUUGCAUGCCUAUUUAAAUUUAUAUACUUAGAUCUUGAUUUCUUAAAAAAAAUGUAUUCAAAACUAGUUUAUCAAACCAGACCGGUAUUAGGGCCCUUAAAUUUCACGGUUUACUGGAGAAAACUCGAACUGUACAGGUCUAACUGUUCCUGAUCCUGAUUGGGUAUAGAAGUUGUAUUGGAAACUUGUAACCAGUGGGCAUUGCAUUUGAAGCAUAAACUCACUUGCUGACAACAACUAAUCGUUCUAUGCAUGUUCUAAGUAAAUUUUGUACAACUGAAUAUAUAUUCAUCCUACUGGAAUCUUUCCUGUAUAACAUUAUAGAAAAAUGCUGAUUUAAAACACUUGGGCUGAUAUAUGUGAAUGAAACAUUUAUUGACUGAAAAGGGUACAUUGAGAAUCAUUUUAGUUAGAAAUCCUAAAGUGCCGCCUCUAAAUUUCAGGGCAAUACUGGAAUGCUGCCUUUUGUCUUCUCUAGCAUAUGUCUUGUAAUGAUGUAUUGCUAACUGAUAUUGUACCAUUGCAGCAAGUUACUCUCAGUCCUUCCUGUCCUGGAAAGUGGAAACUAUCUGAUCAUUUUGUACUCUGUUGCUGUUUUGCAGUGUUCCUCUUUAUUACCAUGUGAAAUUCGCUAUCCUUGUGUGGCUCCAGUUCCCUUCAAAUGGUGUAAGUCAUAAACCAGUUUUGUGUUAGGAGUGUUAAUAUGUAUUUUUCAUAUUCCUAUAUGUAUGACCGAAAGCUAUAUUCCGUAAUAAUUUUUGUUGUUGGUAAAAUUACCAUAUCAGGGAAGUAAAAUAAACGAAGCAUAUGAUUUUUAAUUAUGUUUUGCUGUUAUUAAUUUAAAGAAGUAACAAAUUAGUGUUGAAGAGGAUAGACGUAUUAUAUGAAUGUCAGCAAUGGACUUGGUAUAGCGAUUUCAAUAUCAAGAAACGCAAAGGCCAACCCAACUGGGCUGGUUCAAAUAAUGGUUAGUCGGUUGACAUUGUAUGAUUAUGACAGAAAAAUGUGCAGUCGUAGGUUUAUGUACCCUGCAGUGCAACAUUUGAUUGUUGGUUACAACCUGAAGCUCGAAUCAUGAUGCAUGGCAUCUGUUUGUCUAUUCAUUCCUUGGACCAGUUUUAUUUUCACAAAUAGCGCUUUAAUUAAUUGACUGUAUAGCUAAAAGCCUGUAUAGAGCGUUAAAGUGUUUAGCAUCAUCCACAUGCUUGUGUUGCAAGAUUCUGCUCCUUUUCAGCCAGAUGAUGAAAUAUUGUUGACUAGAAGUUCAAUCUAAAUGAUCCAGUAGAAUCACAGCCUUCUAUAUACUGACAGGUGUUCUUUUUUUAACUUACAGGGAUCAAAGCAUGUGUACAGAAGAUACCUGCGGCCGUUUUUCCUGAAGCAUCAAGCAAAAAUUGAUAGAAUUCUGAAUAUUAUGUCCAAAGAACUUGUAAGCGUGUCUUGGUCUUCAUGUCAUCAUGCAUAUUUUAGAGUAUAUACCACUAAUGGAUAUAAUAUUGUCACAAACAAACCAGACGAAGUUUGUGAGCAACCAUGAAGACGAAAUCCGUUUCGUAGAGAACUUGGCUAUCAGAGGUGCUACAACAGGUACAGAUCGGGAAGUAGAUCCUUUUAUGAUUUGAGAGAAAAAAAAACAGCAUGCUUGUGCAAACAAUGCUUAAAAUUGGAUAUUUGGGUGUACAUAUUAAAUAUCUAGUAAUAAAUUGGGGCCCUAACUUGUUCUUAAGCAUUGAUUUCUAUGGGUUGAUCUCUACAAGUCUGUUUGCCUCAAGCCCUCAAUAUAAUCUCCCAUGUGCAUAUUGUUUAGCCUAUGAUGCCUACCCCUUAUUUUAUUUUUUUCAACUUCCAUCUUGCCGAAGGCCUCAACCAUUUUCUGCACUCGUAAUAUUUGAACUAUAGGCAACCUUUUCACUAUCUUAAAACUGUAUACUGCCAUGUCUUUUCUUGUUGUAUAAUAUGUUCUCUCGUAGAGUUAUUAUUUUCACAAGUAUAAUAUCCCUCUGCCUCCAUACCUGCAAUUGCACCAUGCGGCUUCAUGUUUUUCACAUUAAGAACUCCAAAUUUUAAGUUGAAGUAAUUCUGGGUUGCUUGUGCUUGGAACAGCAAGUUAUAUAGUAAAUGGUGUCGACCAACCUGGACAACCAGAAGAAGUUAACACAGCCGAAGGCCCGAAUUCAACUGCUACGGAAGAAGCCGACACACCGAGAGGCGAAACUCGAGCUUGACUGUUUGUCUCUGCCAAAUGUAUCUUGUGCAGCAAGUACCAUCUUGUUGGAUAUGCUGCAGAAAUGAACCUUUAGGUCAUCCAGCUCGUCAGUUGAAUGUGAAUAUGUUAUCUCUUGAAAAAUCAGCUUGAACUAUGUUUCAAGCUUUAGGAGGGGUACUGCACACUUUGUACACUACGGUGCCACAAAAAAUUGAGCACCAGUUUGUGAGAGACCAUAUGAAAUUGACUGGAGUAUGAAAAUGUAGUUUCACAACUUGGGUUGUCGAUUUCAUUUCAUUUGUAGGUUUUGAUUCGUAUCUAAGUAACAAGUCUCCAGAAGAUGGAAUCAUGAAUACAACCGAUGUUUGUGGAGUAAUUUCUUUAGCAAGGAAUCUUUUUUGGCGCAUAUUAGCACCGAAUCUAUAGUUCGCAAUUCUAAGAAGGUUCUUAACACAACUCAGGAAGGAAACGUUCCACACAUUCAUGUGUAAAUAGAUAAAUGAGUUGAUGAAAGACUAUCUGCCGAUCAACGUUGACUCUCUAAUACGACAAGAUUGUACCUACGAUACGCGGUACAAAGUCUAGAAUUUGCUGAAACGAUGCGUAAUGGUAGCUGAAAGCUUGAAACUUGCUUUGGACCAAAACCUGUCGCUGAGCUUGCAUUUGACCGGACCGCCCUCACGUUUUGUUGUUGGAAGGAAGGAGGCGGCUUUAUUCGUCAUCUCUCUGACCAGUAUGGUAGUUGGACAAGAAGAAAACAAUGUUGGAGCAGCUAUGGUACGUAUAUAUGUAUGAUAUAAUGCCGCCGGGCGAAUAUUCAACAUUGAACCAAUGUUUUCUGUUCUUUUCAAAGUUUGAACUAAUGAGUUUUUUUAUUUAACCCAAGAAAAGACAAUCUUUUUCCAACAAAAACGGAUCUUCGUAGAGAAAAGAAGACCGAUGACCUGCCGACUCGAAACCCAAACCCGUCAUAGAAAGAAGAAACUAACGACCCGCCGCCUCAAAAUCCUAAUCCCGGUCGCCUAUGACUAAGAAAAAGAAAAAAGGAGUCACCGUUCCUGCAAAAGAAGAGACAGAUGUAUGCCUCAAGUCUUUUUUGUAAGAGGAGUAUUUUUUUGGUUAAGUUCUGCUACUCCGUACUUUAUUUAGUUUAAAUUUUGAACUAAAUACCGAAGCACCCACAAAAACUACCUUAACAUGGCCUUCAGGGACAUCCAGAAACAACAAUGAACCAUGUCACAGGCUAAUGAUGUCCUGCUCCAUGUUCCUGAUGGUAUCACAGCAAAAGCAUACAUGGACUUUUUGCAUAGCCUUAAAUCUAGCUAUGCAGCUUGGCUGCAAUCGUCUGGAGUAGUUUUUAAGUCGCUGCUGCGGAUACGGAGUGCUGGCUUGUCGCUUGUGUGUUCUAACACUGUCCUUGAGAGCCAAAUUCCGUCGCUGAUGCCUGAUGGUAUAGCGAGGAAUGCUAGGAACCUCAGACUCUGUGGUUAAAGGAUCCGUCAGGUUUUCUUUUACCUGUUCUGGUGCAAGAUGAAACAACCAUGUAUUUCGAACCAUGCCUCCCUGGUGGAUAUACAAAGGAUUCGGUUUUGCCCGUGCAAACGCGUCAUAGACACUCACAAAUGUAUGGUAAGAUCUCCACGGUCAAGGAAAAGACUUGGUCAGAUAUCCCCGUACAAACCUUCAAGUAACAAUGUUCCUCGAAAGCAUUCUGUGAGUAAAUAGAAUCCUUUUGUGCGUACUCGAAAGCAUUCUAUUUCUACAUACAAAAUGCACCAUCUGUCGGAAAACAAGAAUUCUACCCGCAAAAAAAGGAAAACAUGUAAGAAUUCGAACAGUUUCAGCUCGUGGCUAAAUGUUGGGUCGUAGCUUAGCAUAUGCAAUUGGUCGAACGGCUUCGGCUUGUAGCUAAAAGUUGGAUCGUACCCCAGCAGUUCCAGAAGGACAGAAAAUAGACAGGCAUGAUACAUAACAUUUCAAAUAUGCAAAUUUCCCAUGGACAAUCGAUAGAAUAACACAUAUUACACUCACUUUGGAAUAUAAUGAUAAUGAUAUUACUCGAACAACUGCAUCUCUUUUAGAUCUACAGUAUAGUAUUUGCUUUCAUAUCCAUCCGUGCAUGCAGCAUUUUGAUUGUUCUGACUUCAGAAUUAGGCUAAGACCACAGAGAGAAAUGCAAAAACCAUGAGAUCUGACUCCUUUCCAGAGUCAAACCCAACAGCAUGAACACAAAACAUAGAAUUAGUAGCAGAAAACAAAUGGCAUUCAACCAGGCAAAAAUUGACUAAAUUAACAAUGUUUUCAUAAAAUUGUUCAUUUUGAUAAAGAAUGAGCAAUCCUAAUCUCUUGUCAGCAAGAGACCUUGAACACAUAAUAACCCAUGGUGGAGUAUAUAAUUUUUCUUACCAUGGAAAUGGAAUAAAAAUCCGUCUGAACUAAUCAAAAGAAUACUAGUUAGGACCCUGGUGAAGUAAAACAUGUUUACCGAUGCUCCUGAACUGCUUUCAGCUACCAAUCUGUGACCGGAUGUUCUGUUGAACACCACCAUCUCUGACUUUGCCACCAAAAAUUCAAGAAUAAAAAAGAAUAUUUAUUAUUUACUAGGACCAACUAUUCUUUGGUAAAACGAUGGUUUCAUCCGCUUGUGGACUUCACAGCCUCCUUCAAUCACUUCUGAUCCAUGUGCUGCUCAAGCCAAGCACCAAUUGCAGUCUGAUCCAACAAAUCAGCCUGAUUGUUCCAGUCUGUCCUGUUCGUCGAUCCAGAAGCUAAGCCGCCUGCAUUGCCCAGCAUUUCACCCCUCCGGCCAUUCGGUGACUGUCCCCACGACACAUCCGGCUCCUUUUCUGCAAGCCCUGAUUGCUCAGGGCGUCUCAGGCGAACCAGCUCAUCACCAUCAACACCCCAGUCAACCUUACCCAUUGGGGAACCCAUAUUGCCCCAUGAAGAGUUAGAAUUCCGUGGUGAACCCGUGGAUGGCAGCUGGUGCUUGUUCAGGGAGGCAAACUGUUCAAACAUCUCACGCUGAGUGUGAGAGGCCCCAAAACGAGCACUUAGGGGCGAUGUUGGCUCCAUAACCCGAGGGGACCGAGGAGACAUGCCACCGAUUGGAGAAUGGACAAGCGCUGAUGGAUCAAGACCCCUUGGUGAGUACAAUCUGUUGGUGUUAACUGGUGAGAGGAGACCCUUCUGCUGAUGAAGCUUGUUAAGCAUGGCUGAUUUGUGAGCUGGUGAGUAGACUGAGUGAGCUUGGUCAUUAGUGAACCUUGGCGACAUUGCUAGGUCUGAAGCAUACAUGUCUUCAAGGGUAGAUGGGGCGAUUGCUGUUGGUCUGACGCUAAGGCCAGUAGAAAGGCGGGGUUGGGGACGGCUGCUGGAUGGGAGACAAAGUGCUCCAAGGUACUGUGAUUCCCAAUCGAGGAGCAUGCCAAGAUCCUCAGCAGUAGCAUCUCUUGCAUUGAAAGAAGAACGCAGCCUGCUACCUUGAAGCCAAUGAGGAGCAGUACCUCCACCGUUGCUCCCAGCAGAUGGUGACCCAGGCGGUGGCCCAAAGUGCCUGGGAGAUCCUUGAAGAAGCCCGAGCUGGGCAGCUGCACUCAUAUCAAUAGAUGAAGUUGCACGGGGAGAUAGGAGACCAGCACCGCUAUUGUGAGGCACAUGGCGGAGCUCCUCUUCAUCAUGUGCAAAGAAGCAGAUGCGGCGGGCGCAGGCUGCUCCCUCUUUGCAGAGCCUGGUGCGAUACUGUGUCGGGUGGAGCCAGCUCUCGAAGACGCCAUGGGAGAAUUCACAGUUGUCGCCACUAGGACAGCCACCGGGGCGCCGGAAGUUGGGGCAAGGCACCGCAGUGUACGGAUGCUUACGAGGAUCACGGCGGCGGGCAUUCUCGCCAGGGUGCACGAAGGGGCACUCGGUCCAGUCAUGGGAGUAAGCACGGGAGCACGGACGCACCUUGAAAGCGUACAUGCGGAACUCGUCCGAGGCAUAGACGCUGCUCUUGAUGUCUGGCAGCGUCGGAUCCACGGGAUACUCCUUCUUGCCCCGAUCCACGGUGAUAGGAGACAGCGACGACGGCGACCUGUUGCCCUCGUCAUCUGGUGAGGACGAGAGCGGCGGGGAAGACGCUCCAGACGCCGCCGAGGUAGCCACGGCAAGCGCACGGCGGCGGCCGAGAAGCAUCUCGAGAUCUCCCAGGGCAUCUGGCGAAGCAGGAGGAGCUCUGAUGACGUCGGCCGGGAAGCGGCCGGCGCAGUCGGGGGUGGCCAGGUCGGCGCCAGCGUCCAGAAGCAUCUUGACGACCGGAACAGCGUUGGAGGAGCCCCCUGAGGCGGCGCAGUGAAGCGCGGUGAAGCCGUCGACGCCGGGGCGACGGGCUACAUCGACGUAGCCACUCAGGCCGAGCAGCAGCGAGACGACCCGUGCGCUGCCGUAGGUGGCCGCGACCAUCAGAGGCGUCCGCGGUUCGUAAGCCUUGCUCCGGCCAUACCACAGGCCGACCUCAUCGGCCAGCUCCGCCGCCUCCUCGCCUGCCAGUUCAAGCGCCUCCCUCAUCCCGUCAACAUCAUCCGCCGCCGCGAGCUCAAGCAGCGCCGCCAGCUUGUCCCGCCGCCCGCCGCCCGCGACCUGCGCACGCGCGGGAUCAGGAAGGUCGCCCAUUGCCGCUGCUACUAGUACUCAACAGGGGAAAGCUCAACACAUCUGCAAAAGAGGCAAGCGCAGGAGGGGGGGUUAUAUAGAUUCAGCAGCAGCAGGAGGAGAUAACCCCGGAAUCGAGAUCAGGAAAUCGGCGAAUAAGGAAGGCGAGAAAAAAAAGGAAAGAUGUGGGGGGAGGGAGAGACCCAGACCCAGCUCGACGAAUCGGAGCUCUGUCUCCUUUGGAAAGCGGCCAAUCAAACCCAAUCCGGAGAGCACCGGGAGCAAAUCGCCGAUCCGAACACCGGAAUCGACGGGAGGGAGGAAGGAAGGGAUUACUAGGGAAGCAAUAAAUGAGCAGUAACCAUUUACCUCCCGCCGCGGCACGAUCCAAAUCCAAUCCCAAUCCAGCCCAGCCCAGUCGGAUCCGGAGGCGGACCCCUCUUCCUCCCUCCUGCCCGGCAGUAACCGGCGGCGGGGUAGCGUCUCCCCUCGCCGGAGAAGAGAAGCGAAACGGAACCGCCUUGGGGAGCGGAGCAGGGAAAGAGAGAGGAGACAGCGAGGUGGGGGGAGGAGGAGGACUCGCAGUUUACUGGUGGUGGUGGCGAGGAGUUAAAUUGUCUCAUUCCUCGGGCACCGCGACCCUCUUCACCCUCAGCCGUCUAACCCACCACCUCCCACAGCCGCCGACACGGUAGCCCCACGUAACCCCGGGUCCACGAUGUCACUGAGACGGUUAGAAAAACGUCAGGUAUCGGCCCGGGUCGAGAUUUUUAUACAGGAAUUUACUGUGCGGUGGGGCCUACCAGGGGGAUUCAAACAGGCGGGUGCCGGUGGAAAUUGCUGACCGCUCGCGUCGGGGUGGGGUCGGGGCGGCUGCUGCCCGCUGACACGCGGCGGCGCAUCGGGCCGUCGGGGCUGUGCACGGACGGGCAGGAUCGUGCGGGGCAGGUGGCGGACGUGAGAUUCGGCGCCGAAAGCCUCGGUUGUAUCUAUCCCCGUCGUACGGAGGAGGGAGGUCGGCUCGAGAGAGAGAAAAAGAAAGAAAGAAAGGUCGUCGUCGGUGACCUCCCGCGCCCGCUGCGCCCGGUGCACUGGACCCAGUGCACUGUGUUAGAGUUUGAAGAUAUUCGGUUCAACAAGAAAAUCCUAGACAGAGAGAAUUAGUUUUGCUGUUCUUAUCUCUCUCUUUAACCUUGUCUCGUGUAUCUCAAGUUCUCUAUCUUUCCCGUUGCUAACGGUUUGUAAACAAACUCUGUAAUCUUCUUUCCGGUGGAUACACCGGCAUAUAAAUAAACACCACGCGGCCCUGAGAAGGGUAACACGCUUACAUCAAAGUUUAUAUGGUAUCAGAGCCUUCCUCUUCCACCUACAUCUGAUUCCAAUCUCGUCGCUUCCAUGGCUUCAUCAGGCUCGACGAUUCCUUCUCUCGGUCAGGUGUCUGAGAAACUCACGAGGGAGAAUUAUCUCCUGUGGAAGGCACAUAUCCUUCCAUCAAUCCGCGGUGCUCAGAUCUAUGGCUACCUUGAUGGCACGAUUUCUGCACCAGCGCAAGAACUCACGGUUGAGAAGGCGGACAAGACCGUCGACAAGCAACCGAACCCAGCCUAUGCGGCAUGGGUUACUCAAGACCAGUUGCUCCUGUCCCAUCUGCUCAACAAUCUCACCAAAGAGGUGUUGACGCAGGUGAUCUCCCUGCAGACCUCCCAUGAAGUCUGGUCGGCGCUCGAGAACAUGUUCUCGUCCCAAUCCAGAUCGCGGGUGAACAAUCUCCACAUCAUGCUCGCCAACGCCACCAAAGGUAAUAUAACAGUGGCAAAUUACUUUUCCAGGAUGACGAGCCUCGGAGAUGAACUUGCAGCAGCCGGCAAACCACUCUCGGAAGACGAGAUGGUGUCUUGCAUACUGGCGGGGCUCGAUGUCGAGUACAACCCGCUGGUGUCCGCACUGGAGGCCAAGACCGACGCCAUCACGCUCGGCGACCUCUACUCCCAUAUGUCGAACUUCGACACAAGGAUGGAGCUGCUACAAGGUGGCUUUGGCAGUGGCUUCAAGUCAUCUGCAAACGCUGCUGCAAAAGGACGCGGCGGCUACCGGGGGCGAGGAGGACCGCGAGGCCGCGGCAACCGCGGCGGACGCACCAACAACUCUAGCAACACCAACAAAGGACCACGACAGGGUGGUCCAAGCGGCAGCAACGGGCGCAACAACGACUCUCGACCUGUUUGCCAAAUCUGCUCCAAGACAGGCCACACCGCCAUAGAGUGUUGGUGGCGUUUUGAUGAAGACUACCAAGCUGAAGAGAGGGUUGCUGGAUCAGCAAACACCUCGUCCUAUGGAGGCGAUACCAGUUGGUACACCGAUAGCGGUGCCACUGAUCACAUCACGGGGGAGCUAGAGAAGCUCACCAUCCGUGACAAGUACAUGGGGCAAGACCAAGUGCAUACCACAAGCGGAGCAGGUAUGAGAAUUAAUCACAUUGGUCAAUCAUCUAUUUGCACCCCUAAUCGUGAUCUUAAACUUAAAAACAUACUCCAUGUUCCACACACAUCAAAAAAUCUGCUUUCUGUUCAUCGCCUUACCAAUGAUAGUAAUAUCUUUAUUGAGUUUUGGCCUCGGUACUUUUUGAUUAAGGAUCAGGCAACGAGGAGAACAAUCUACAGAGGCAGAUGUAGAGGAGGUCUCUACCCCUUAGUUCCCUAGCAUCGGCAGUUCAAUAAGCAAGUGUUUGGUGUCACCAAGUUAUCUUCGUCGAGGUGGCACAGUCAUUUAGGCCAUCCUUCUUUUUCCGUAGUUCAGCAAGUGCUUAGCAAUAAUGAUCUCCCUUAUGUUGGAGAAUUAUCUAGUGAGUCAGUGUGUGAUUCUUGUUGGUGUGCCAAAAGUCAUCAACUACCAUACCCCAUCUCCAGUAGUAUAUCUACAGUUCCAUUAGAGUUGAUUUUCUCUGAUGUUUGGGGACCAGCUCCUACCUCUGUUGGGAGAUUUUCUUAUUAUGUGAGUUUUAUUGAUGAUUUUAGUAAAUACACCUGGAUCUAUCUCAUUAAAAGAAAUCUGAUGUCUUUGAGGUGUUUCACAAUUUCCAAGCACUUGUUGAACGAAAAUUUGGUCGAAAGAUAAUUGCUAUGCAAUCUGAUUGGGGAGGAGAGUAUGAGAAAUUAAACUCCUUUUUCUAGAAAAUAGGCAUAUCUCACGAUGUUUCCUGUCCACAUGCCCAUCAACAAAAUGGGUCGGCAGAAAAAAAGCAUCCACACAUUGUCGAAGUAGGUCUGGCUUUGCUAGCCAACGCCUCAAUGCCCUUAAAGUAUUGGGAUGAGGCCUUCUUAGCAGCCACAUAUCUCAUCAACAUGCUUCCAAGCAAAGUUAUAAACUUUCAAACCCCUCUUGAGCGUUUAUUCGGCACAAAACCAGAUUAUACCUCCCUUCGUAUUUUCGGUUGUGCUUGCUGGCCGAAUCUUCGGCCAUACAAUACAAGAAAACUUUCCUUCCGCUCUAAGCAGUGCACGUUCCUUGGUUACAAUGCCUUACACAAAGGGGUCAAGUGUCUUGAUGUUCAAACCGGUCGCAUUUAUAUUUCUCGGGAUGUUGUUUUUGAUGAAAUUGUUUUCCCUUUAAAAUCCCUUCAUCCCAAUGCCGGCCAACUUCUUAGGAAAGAAAUCCUACUUCGUCCUGAACACCUUCACUCCUUUGAUCAUGGGGGCGAAAAUAAUGAUGAUGAUCAAGUUGUGAUUAAUAGUCAUGCUACUAACCCUGCUACUAAUCCUGUUUGUGAGCCUAUGGAGCCUACAGGAAAUCCAGCAGAAAAUCAUGGCGCAGAAAAUAUUGGGUAUAAUCUUCGCGUAACCCAAGCAGUAACCGGCAGAUCCCAGGAGGAUUCGGGUGGCAGUGGCAACAACAGUAGCUCCAGAUCUGAUGCAGAUUCUCCUAUGUCAGGCGGCAGUAGCGGCAGUACUUCUCCCGUGGCGCCUGCACCCGCUUCGCCCGUAUCAUCGCACGCCACGCCAGCACUCUCCACCGACAGCAGCAAUAGCGCGUCAAUGAGAUCUUCUGCGGCUCAAUCCAGCACGGCUGGAUCAUCUGCAUCAUCAUCUCCGGUGCAGCCGCAACCUACAUCAGUUCCAGCAGGAAAUCAAGCAGUACCAGAUCUACGUGUGACACGUUCCCGGCAUGGUAUUGUGAAGCCUGGAUCUCUCGCCGGAGACAGAGAAGAAAGGCAAAGGGGAAAGGGGAUCUUGAGCAGCAUCAAUCCAAGAAGAAGCAUCUCAAGUGAGAUGGGGAAAAACUUACUGGGGAAAGUAUACAUCACACAUACUCCCCCUCCCCUCCCCCUCCGGCUGGCAACGCCGGCGGAGGAGAGGAGAGGGGGAGCAGGCAUCUCCGACGGCACUAAGCCAACCAACUAACUCAAGGAACUGCUACUAGCAGGAGCAGAGGAAGAGCGGUAUGCUGGCAGUGGAAGAGAGAAGAGACGAGCGUCUAGUCCCCCCCUGUUUACGUAGGUAGGCGUUACUCGUUAGACAGACAGUCAAUCACAAACACAGGGGCUGAUUGCCUGAUUCUAGAGUAAUCAACGCUUGCGGCUCCCGAGCCUUUCUUCGCACCUUGAUUUUUCAGCUCAAAUCAUAUUUCUUGUAUCCCACCCCCUCGUUCUAACAAAAAAAAAAUUGACAACCCUUGGUCUAACAACUUGUUGUUUGGAUCUAAGCAUUUAGGCUUUGUAUUGGACAUUGAUGUUGUGUAACUCCCAAAAUUUAGAGUAUUGGACUGGUCUAAAUAUUCAUCCAUCUCAUUCGGGCUCAGUAUUGACUACCAGUACACAAGGCGAAUUUGGAUCCAGCCCAAUUCCAAGCAAAAUAACUCAACAUCGUUGGGUAUUCGGGAUUUGCGUACCCUUCGACCUGCGACCCACUUACUCGACUCAAAAUAUCCAUGUCCCUGAUUCCUUCCUCGGUGCCUCCCUCCUUUCUAAAGACGACAAUCUCCACCUCCACCCUAUCCCCACCCCGUACCUCAUCCCUGACUUCCCGACGACAGUGCGAGUGCCAGCGACGGCAUAGGUAGCAGCGUCACAUCCUCACAGUGGUGGCGGCUCGGCACUAGUGAGAUCCGCCUCUAAUCAUGUUUAAAUUUCGCCAAUGUUUGAAUAUUUUUUCUAUUUUGAGCAAUUAUCUGGUCAAUCGUUGGGAUGCUGCAAAUGAUGGAAAUUGGAGCAAAUAAUGUUGUAAGUUAGGUAUCAUGCCAAAAUGCGCCAACAUUGGAGAUUAAUGUCGAUGAAGGAGCACUCAAGAGGAAGAUGAGCAUUUGGCCCAGCCCACGGUGCUAGGGCGGUAUGGGCUAACACCAUGGGGAAGUUGGGGCAACACGCGCCCCGCUAUGGAGAGCCAUGAUACAUCGAAAACGUAUCGCACCUUUUGAAUUCUAAUGUUAUGUUUUUUUCUUCAUAAAAUCAAUUGUCUGGAGAAUGAACCCCUAAUCUCUGAUGGAAUCUAAAAUUUUCAUUGUUUCUAUGUUUGCACGCAAGAAACUUCUAGGACUCAGAUGAAACAUGGCAACGAAGACAUGCGUGGGUGUACAGAAAUAUUGUGCAAAAGUCAUGGCUCGACCACGCAAAAGGUAUCGGGGUGGUUGGCUGAAAGGACAUUUCUCUCCUAAGUGUUUUGGUGGUGACGACAACGUGUUUUGUUAUCUAAUCUUGUGCUAAGCAUUUCAGGGUUUAUAAAGAACUCGACACAAGAUGAAUUGUGGACCCUCAAAAAGGAAAGAAGCGUAGUGAUGUUUAGCGGCUUUUUCAGUUGAUUUGAGUCGUAGGACAUCCGUACUAUUAAGAGGGGAUCCACAAGGGAAGGUAACGGGUGAAUCAAUUUCACGUACACAUCUAAACCAAAUUGCACCCACUAAAAAGCCUACCCAAUAAGGUGUGAGAAGAAAACAUUUUUCAGAGUGUUGUUUUGGCAUUUCUGGCUCACAGGCGGCGGAAGUUCCGGGUGAACUUCCGCCCGAACUUCCGGGUGCUCUCUGUUAGUCCCGUGGGAAUAUGCGGAACUUCCGGUGAAUAUUCGGAACUUUCGGUCAGCCGGAAGUUCCGGCUAUCCAGCGGAAGAGCCGGCCUAUCCCGACCAGUGCCUAACGGCUCGAUUUUUGGGUGCCCAACGAGCCAACUGAGCAAGCAAGCAGCCAAGAACACCUCAAGCUUAAAUAUCCAAGAUCUCCCUCCCUAGCCACUCAUAACUCUUGAUUCUUUGUGGAUUGGAGGAGAAGAUCUUGAUCUAAGGUUUCACCAAGUCAAAAAGUUGAUUCCCCAUGUUUUCUUUGUGGAUUUCGUUUCUCUUGGGUUGUUGGGAACCCUAGACGGAAGCAGUCAACUCGAGCUCUCCCUUGGUGUUUGAGGAGCUCGGGGCUUGGAUUGGGAGCCUCCGAUUGAGUUGUGGAGUUUGCCCCGGUCAAGUUUGUGGGACGGAGACGGCCCGUCGGGAGGACAUGGGGCGCUUCUCCGUCUCCGCCUGGAUUGCUAACCCAGACGAGAUUGCCAAGGAGAUGGUGAUCGGAAUCCCCGAGCCGUUCGACCCGGAUCUUGGGGGGAAUGACUUGUUUCUCUCGCCGGAGGACUCCAUUCCGGAGGGUGUAGAGGUGCUGGAUUACUCCGUGAUAGUUCACCUCCUCUGCACUGAAGACCGCAAGAACUCUACCGACCGUUCUUCCUUCGGUGGUGGUGGCGACUCCUCUGACGGCGGCGGUGAACCGGACAACGACCCGGGCAGUGGACCCUCUAGGAGGAAGCCCAGGACGCACGUCUUUCCUUACCGGCGAGGAGUGGUGGAUGGCUCGGAGGUGUCUCGGGGUGCUGGCCCCACCCCAGCGACGCAGGCCGGGGGUGGGGUGGGGGGGGCUCGGCCGGGGCACGCCUGGCGGUGGUACCGCCGGCGACUGGCUCGCCUGGGCUGGCAAUUCCGGCGCCUCCGCGAAUUCAAAUUCAAGCACCUAGUCAACAAAGUGGUUCGGGGAUGGGCCCAGAUUCCCCUGUGAAAGAGAUGCAGCUGACGGGAGCGGAUGACUCCGCUUUCCUGUGUGGAAUGUUCCCCACUUUUGAAAGCUGCAGUUUGGACCCCAUGGUGGCAGAGGACCCGAUGGUGCAGGAGUUUGACUUUUUGUUUGCGAGGAGUGAUCAGGCCGCAGAGUUUAGGGAGGCUCCUAGCCCGGAUCAACAGUCGGGCUCGUUGGGCCUGCUUCCUUCCCUGGGCUCGAACCCAUCGCUGGGCCUGGUGCAUGGGGAGGCUCCUGGGCCGGAUCAGCAGUUGGGCUCGUGGGGCCUACUUCCUUCACUGGGCUCGAACCCAUUGCUGGGCCUGGAUCUUGGGGACUCGGUGGACUCCUCUGCGGAUCCGCAGGUGGAAGAGCCCGUUAUGGAUUUGUUCAGAGUGGAUAUCUCUCCUCUGUCGGCUAGCGCGGAACCCUACACCCCUCUCCGGGAGAGGGUUUCGCCUUCUGGGUUGGAGAGGGUUGAUGAUUUCCGUUCUUCCUUGCGUCGGCCAGUGCAGAGGGUGCUGCAAGUUCCCAGGGUGGCCAGGAAGAAGAAGACUAUUCGCUCGCCGGUCAGAAGAAGCUCACGGUUGGCGAACAGGCUACGGCCCGGUUCCUCAAUCAAGCGUCAGCAAAAGUUGCUCGGUAUCGCCCAGGAGGGAGGCCUUAUCGAUGAGGUGGCCCUACAGAACUAUCUUCGGCUGUUUGAGGAGCCACUGUCCCAGGAGCACAUCUCGACGAUUAUGGCUCUGUUCGGCUGGGACGGUGGGGCGAUGCCAUUACAGGAGGAUGAGGGUGAUGCGGUGACGACCUGAUCUGGGUUGUGAAGGCGUGGUGGUGGGUGGGCUGGUACUAUGUCAGCGAACCCGAAGUUCUUGGUGUGGAAUGUACGUGGGCUGAAUUCCUUAGCCAAACGUACAGGGGGUUUUCAGGUGGUCUCGACGGCGAAUGGCGAUUGUGUUUGUCUACAGGAGACUAAAAUGCAGUGUAUCGAUGCUCGUGUGGUGUCCCUGUGUUUGGGCUCAGAGUUUGACAACUUUUUCUAUUUGCCUGUGUCUGGCACUCGGGGUGGUGUGUUACUGGCUUGGAAGCAGUCCAGUAUGACGGUGUCCCAUCCCCAUCUCACCCAGUACACGGUUACGGCCCGAAUCUCUUAUUCGGGCUCUAGCUGGUGGAUCACUGGCGUUUAUGGGCUGCACCGGGAUGUCGAUAAGCCUUUGUUUUUCCAGGAGUUACGCGAGGUGCGUGGCCUUCCCGUUGGUCCUUGGGCGGUGGUGGGUGAUUUCAACCAAGUGGUUAGCCCUGAGGACAAGAGCAACAAUCGUAUUCAUUGGGGUCUCAUGCGACAAUUUAGGUGGCUUCUAACGGAGCUUGAUUUGAAGGAGCUUUACUUGGUCGGUAGAAGGUUCACGUGGUCCAACGAGCGGGAGAACCCCACUUUGUGUAGGCUGGAUCGUGUGUUUACAUCGGUGGAUUGGGAGCUCUGCUGUCCGGAGGCCUACCUCUCGGCAGUCGGGACAGCAACCUUGGAUCACGCACCCCUCCUGUUAGAGGUUGGAGCUGACUUUCGGGUGGGCCGAAGAUUUCACUUCGAGGCCCAUUGGCCAAAGGCGCCGGGCUUCCUCGAUGUGGCGCGCGAGGCCUGGCAGGAAUGCCAGCCCACUUCGAAUCCCUUCCGGACCCUAGCGGGGAGGUUGCGGGUUUGCGCGCGGCGUCUGCGCAGUUGGAGCGACAAGCGCAUUGGCAAUGCCAAAUUGUUGAUUUCGGUGGCUGCGGAGCUGAUUCUGCGUCUGGAUGUGGCUAUGGAGGUGAGGGUUCUCACGGUGGACGAGAGAUCCCUUAGGGCUUUUAUCAAACUUAAAUUCCUCGGUCUCUCUUCGUUGGAGCGCUCUAUGGCGCGGCAGAAGUCUCGGCUCCUUUGGCUCAAGGAGGGGGACGCUAACACGAAGUAUUUCCGCCUGUGUGCGAGCCAGUGGCGGAGGAAGAAUUUCAUCGGCCAGAUCCGCCUGGACGAUGGCUCGCUAAUUUCCUCUCACGAGGAGAAGGUUUUGGCGGCAAAUGCUUUCUUUGAACAACUUCUCGGGGUGGCGGUGGAUAGACCUUUUACCCUCGACUUGGAGUUCUUGCGUGUGGACUAGCAUGACCUGUCGGACCUCGAGGGAGUGUUCACUGAGGAGGAGGUGAUGGCUGUUGUGAGAGAGUUGCCUUUGGAUAAGGCGCCGGGUCCAGAUGGCUUCAUGGGCAGGUUCUACCGUGUCUGCUGGCCAAUCAUUAAAGAUGAUGUGUUGGCUUGCUUCCGGGAGCUGUCGGAUUUGAGAACUCGUGGAUUCGAGGCGCUCAACCAGGCUUUCAUCUGCUUGCUGCCGAAGAAGGUGGACGCCCUCGAGUUCAGAGAUUUCUGUCCUGUGAGUCUCAUCCACAGCAUGUGUCGGGGGAAUGACCCCGGGUAGGGUCGUGACGACACCACUCUGGCCGAGUUAACAAAGACCGUUCUAGCCGAGAUAAAGGAGGCUAGGCCGGCUGGGAUAAAUAUGUCGGUGUCUCCAAGUUCGACUAACGCUAAGCCGGCUAAGCCAGCAUACCUAGUGUAUGCCGUCACAAUUGUUCUGUUAUGUAAAGUAUGCAGGGUCAAGACAGAUAUGGGAGUUUCGGCAGUAGCCGAGAUCCCUCAACUGUCUUAUCCUGACCACGCGGGCGAAGAAAAGGUGAAGCCGUCACCGCCCCGGGAAAGCAGUCAGCGCCUGCACCGUGAUGUCAGAAGACCACGCGCUGGAAGCACCGAAAGGAGAUUCCCUGACGAAGCUGGCAGAAAGUAAAGCGGUUUUGUCCCCCACAGUACAGUUUGGAGGGAACAGUGCCGCGUGCCGGCGGGGCCCGUAGAUAGCGACGGUGAUCCCGGCCCACAUGGCAGCGAGCCAUGUGGCGCCUAUAAGUAGACCCUCACCCCCUGCGGUGAGAGGAGAGGUUCUUUGAGAUUCCUAUUUCCCUCUUCUUCUUCUUCUUUGUAACACAGCUCUAGGAGCACCUUUGUAAUCUCUGUUAUCCCAGCAAAUCCAUACAAGCAGGAGUAGGAGCUUUACCUCUGCAAGAGGGCUCCGAACCUGAAUAGAUCUGCGUGUUCAAGCGUGUUUCCGUGCGUGUUCUUCUUCACGCCCUCCCUCCUCCGGAUUCACCAGCGUCCAUCGGCCCCAACUCAAGCCAUCCUAUGGCAUCUGCCGUGACACCACCACGACAGGCGUGCUCCCAUGUUAUCUCAUGGUGGCCGACUGACGCUCCUCUCCUCCACCCUCUGUGCUUUGCUAGUUUACGCGAUGCUUUCCUUGGAUCUCCCAAUCAAAACCCUAAAGGCCAUUGAGAGCAUCUGUCGGGGCUUCCUUUGGAAGGGACGGAGAGAGGUGAAUGUUGGUAAUUGCCUAGUGGCGUGGGACCGGGUGUGCUCGCCGAAGGAUUUUGGGGGAUUGGGUUUGCCUAAUCUUCGUGAACUCAACUCUGUGCUUCGGUCUCGUUGGUGUGGGCUGCAGCGGACAGAGGUCUGGCGGCCGUGGCAAGGUCUACCGUUGGGCAUCUCGCGGGCGUCUACUGUCAUCUUUGAAGCGGCUACUGUGGCUAUCAUUCGCGAUGGGCGGGGCACUGACUUCUGGCACGACCCCUGGAUUGGUGGACAAAGGAUGAUAGACUUUGCGGCCAGACGCCCCCAUAGCGGGCAGCUUUCGGUGGCCGAGGGGUUGUUGGAGCAGGCUUGGCUCCGACAGGUUCAGCUUAAUUUGGGGUAGGAGGCGAUCAGGGAGUUGUUCAUCGUGUGGGAUCUUACUCAACAGAUGGAGCUCACGGAUGUAGCUGACUCCUUCCGCUGGAAGUGGUCAGUGGAUGGGCGUUAUUCCGCUAGGUCAGCAUACAAUGCUCUUUUUGCGGGUUGAACAAGGAUGCCGGGCUUUGACCUGAUUUGGAAAUCAAGGGCCCCGGGACGGUGCAAGUUCUUCGUAUGGUUGGCCUUGCAGGGGCGAUGCUGGACGGCGGAUUGCCUGGAGCGGCGUGGCAUGGAUCACCCAGUGAGCUGACCCCUCUGUGAACAAGAACCUGAGACGAUUGAUCAUAUCUUGCUAGGCUGUGUUGUCGCCCGAGUGGUAUGGGCACGGGUGCUGCAGGAUUGGGGUAGGCCGACUUGGUUUCUGACGGCGGAUUCUCAUCUUCAAGAAUGGUGGACGGCUCUGGAGAUUGGAGGCAAGAGGCGCCGGAACGUUGCCACAGCCACGACUCUGAUCUGGUGGUCUAUUUGGAAGCACAUGAACAAAGUGGUCUUCGAAGGGGUUUCACCUAGUAGCGGCACCAUUCUUCAGGACAUCAGAAGAG